AUCUCCUGCCGCAGCUCCCGGAGCUGCUCUGGAUCAAUCCGAACCUCCAUAGAUGGUGUAGCUGAGGAGAAAGGUCCGGCAAAGGUGGUAGGAGCAGGAGGAGUGGAUGGGAGGUCUGGAUGGUCUGGAAGGUCUGGGUAGUCUGAAUCUGGCUCAAGACUGGGUGAUGGUCUAGUGGUCUGAGCAGUGAGAGUAGACUUCCUAACCCAGAUCCCUUCUCUCUUCUGAAAUCCCAUCCUGUGCAUAGUCCCCGUACACAAGCGAUCAGUCCAUCGCAAGGCACGAGAGGGUUCCCUCUCCGGAAUGGGAAUCUCGUACUGCCUAAAAAGAAGAGUGAAUAACAUCCCAUAUGGGAGUGAGAGCCUAGAUCUAUCUAGGGGCUCACACAUAUACCUAUAAAUGAGCUUUGGGAAGUUGAUCGGGGUGUCCUGAAGGAUAUAAGACAUAAUAGCUAAGUCCCUCUCAUUCACAAAAUCAAAUCUCCCUGUCUUAGGAAAGAUGGACCUGGACAGAAUGCUCAAAAGGAUUCUCACUUCAAUAGGAAGUGAGCUAGCAGAUACCUCAUCUAGGGGGGACUGAGGUGGAUGCCCUAAGACGACCGUAAGGGCCGCAACUCUAUCCUCAGGGUGUGCGGGAGCCACCCCUACUAGUGGAAGGUGGAGGAUGUGGCCAAUNNNNNNNNNNNNNNNNNNNNNNNNNNNNNNNNNNNNNNNNNNNNNNNNNNNNNNNNNNNNNNNNNNNNNNNNNNNNNNNNNNNNNNNNNNNNNNNNNNNNNNNNNNNNNNNNNNNNNNNNNNNNNNNNNNNNNNNNNNNNNNNNNNNNNNNNNNNNNNNNNNNNNNNNNNNNNNNNNNNNNNNNNNNNNNNNNNNNNNNNNNNNNNNNNNNNNNNNNNNNNNNNNNNNNNNNNNNNNNNNNNNNNNNNNNNNNNNNNNNNNNNNNNNNNNNNNNNNNNNNNNNNNNNNNNNNNNNNNNNNNNNNNNNNNNNNNNNNNNNNNNNNNNNNNNNNNNNNNNNNNNNNNNNNNNNNNNNNNNNNNNNNNNNNNNNNNNNNNNNNNNNNNNNNNNNNNNNNNNNNNNNNNNNNNNNNNNNNNNNNNNNNNNNNNNNNNNNNNNNNNNNNNNNNNNNNNNNNNNNNNNNNNNNNNNNNNNNNNNNNNNNNNNNNNNNNNNNNNNNNNNNNNNNNNNNNNNNNNNNNNNNNNNNNNNNNNNNNNNNNNNNNNNNNNNNNNNNNNNNNNNNNNNNNNNNNNNNNNNNNNNNNNNNNNNNNNNNNNNNNNNNNNNNNNNNNNNNNNNNNNNNNNNNNNNNNNNNNNNNNNNNNNNNNNNNNNNNNNNNNNNNNNNNNNNNNNNNNNNNNNNNNNNNNNNNNNNNNNNNNNNNNNNNNNNNNNNNNNNNNNNNNNNNNNNNNNNNNNNNNNNNNNNNNNNNNNNNNNNNNNNNNNNNNNNNNNNNNNNNNNNNNNNNNNNNNNNNNNNNNNNNNNNNNNNNNNNNNNNNNNNNNNNNNNNNNNNNNNNNNNNNNNNNNNNNNNNNNNNNNNNNNNNNNNNNNNNNNNNNNNNNNNNNNNNNNNNNNNNNNNNNNNNNNNNNNNNNNNNNNNNNNNNNNNNNNNNNNNNNNNNNNNNNNNNNNNNNNNNNNNNNNNNNNNNNNNNNNNNNNNNNNNNNNNNNNNNNNNNNNNNNNNNNNNNNNNNNNNNNNNNNNNNNNNNNNNNNNNNNNNNNNNNNNNNNNNNNNNNNNNNNNNNNNNNNNNNNNNNUCUCUCUCUCUCUCUCUCUCUCUCUCUCUCUCUCUCUGUACAUAAAGUUACCUCAUGCAAGAAAUGUUGCACCUUUCUGCAAUUAAAUACUAAUCAUCUGUUUUCGAAAAUAAAGUUAGAAAUAUUAAUAUCUAGUUGAGGAACACCGAGUUCCCAUCAUAUCCAGCCGACUCAACAAAACUGUACGUGAGUUAAAAAUAAUAUCUAGUUGGAAGCUUUUAUUAGAUAAUUGAUCAUACCUCCUUAUUUUAAAUGCAGCAAAAGUGACCUCAGACGCUUGCGAGACGGCACUUCCACCUUGCGGAGCUUCCAAAGUUCCCAUCCCAAUCCGUCCCUGCCGCCUCUUUCUUGUGUCUCGCCAGUACUCGUUGGCUGAAAGAAAAAUAUUUUUUUUAAAACUAAUAUCACCUUGAGGAAAAAAUAAUUCUAAUACAUAAAGAGUUUUUACAGCUUUUUCUUUGUUUUUUAUAUGGUUGAAUUUACAACUUUUCUUGAAAGCACUAUUUUUUUUUAUUAUUAUUGGAUCUAUAAAAAGUUCUACCAACUAUAUAAUGUUCUUAUAUAACACGCAAGAGAAAGAAACAAGUCUAGUUUCUAGAUAAUGUCCUCUCAAAAAAAUCUCAUAGCAUACUUUUAUUUCUCUUUUGAUAAGAAAAAUAAACUCGAGCAUGAAAGCAAAGAAACUCCCACCUUCCCUUCUUAUCCCCUCACCAAACCCCACCUCAUCGUAAUCCAUACACUCCAAAACUUAUAUUAAUCUAUAACACAAGCUAACAACAUGAAGGACCAAGUCAGAAUCCAUGCUUUAAAAAAGCAAUAAUAAUAACUUUAUAAUUAUCUCUAAGAAACAACAUAAGAAAAAGUUAUAAAAACUUGUGAACACCUAGCUACAAAGAAUAAUUGCAAAUUCCCUGUACACCAACAAAUAAUCGUGAUAUAAUUCCAAACCUAAAAAUACAAAAAAAGAAAUAGAUAAUGAACUAAACAAAGGCGGUCGCAGGCUCUUCCGCGACCGCUGACUUUCUCUGAGUCGAAAUCUUGAACGGCCGCUUCUUCAGCGACAGAGGACUCUGCACCUCCUCCUCGUCGGCCGCCGCCAAACGCCAACUCGCGGCAGCUUCGGACCCGAACUCCGGCAGUGGCGGCAGGUUCAGAUCGAACCCCCUCAGCCCCGAGCUCGCCGCCUCCAGCGUCGUUAUCCCGCUCCCUCCGGUGGCUCCAGCGCCGGCGCCGCCGUCGUAGUGGCGUCUCUUGUGGCCCCCCAGCGCCUGCCCCGUCGGGAACGUCCUGUGGCACACCGAGCACUCGUGCGCCCUCCCCCCGCCGCCCGACGAGGAGGCGGAGCCGGUAGAGUCCACCUCCUCCGCCCCCCGCCGGGGGUGUGGGGCGCCUUCCGGUGGCUGGCCUUGUGCCCACCAAGGGCCUGGUAGGAACCGAAGGCCUUACCGCAGACGGAGCACUUGUACUCCUGCCUUGUCUCCGGCGGCGCCGGUGGCGUGGGGGACGGGAGGCGGCCGUGACCGGCUCCGCCACCGCCACGGGCAAGCAUCAUGAGGCAGAGCGCGAGGUACUCCUCUUCAGUCGGGUGGUGAUCAAAGAAGCGGUGACGCUUCGUCCGCUUCCGCUUUGCCCACCCCUCCACCCUCUGCGGCGGCGGCGGCGGCGGCGACGCCUCUCUCGAUUCAGCAACACGAGACUUCAACACCAAAGCCGGCACCGGCGCCGGAGUUUCCAGAGCCAUCAGAGCUCCAAACAGCAACAAGAUGAGAAGAGUAGAAGAAGAGUCGAAGAAGAGAAGGGGUUCAGUUGGAGAGAGAACUAAAGAGUAGAGAGCAAGGAAAGGGUGUUGGGUGGCAUAAAUAGGUGGUGGCGAGUGCCGUCAAACUUGGGGGGGAGUUUGCUGGAGCAGGUUAAGCGGCGCAGGAACACGUUAAGUAGCAGGAGUACUGCAGCGAGAGUCGACUUGUUCUUCAUUCAAAACAAUACAAAACCGUCUCUCACGAUGGAGAGAGUCUUCUCGUACUGUAAACAAUAACGUACGAAUACAAGACUAAUAUGGAGUUAAAUUUAAAGAAAGGAGACAUCUUAUUGGAUAGAAUGUGGACAUAAUACUGUAGAGAAGGGACACCGUACCGUAAUCCUAGCCUUUUCGUGGCUUUUGCCUUCCUACUGUGCCACGUGGCAUGUAUAUCUGUAAAUUAGAACUGACCUUUACGCGAAGGAUAAGGAAGUUUGGGUGUGAAACAGUGCGAGAGGUUGACACGUGUUUCUCGUUUCCCCUUUGCCCAUUCAAUUCAUAUGUUCGUCAAGCCACGUAACGUGUGACCGUCUAUGUUUGGUGCGGACCACGUGUGUAAUCGGGGUGUUGAAUUGGUCUAAUUCUCUUCGGUCGUCUCCUCGGCUGCGCUUGGUCUCAGNNNNNNNNNNNNNNNNNNNNNNNNNNNNNNNNNNNNNNNNNNNNNNNNNNNNNNNNNNNNNNNNNNNNNNNNNNNNNNNNNNNNNNNNNNNNNNNNNNNNNNNNNNNNNNNNNNNNNNNNNNNNNNNNNNNNNNNNNNNNNNNNNNNNNNNNNNNNNNNNNNNNNNNNNNNNNNNNNNNNNNNNNNNNNNNNNNNNNNNNNNNNNNNNNNNNNNNNNNNNNNNNNNNNNNNNNNNNNNNNNNNNNNNNNNNNNNNNNNNNNNNNNNNNNNNNNNNNNNNNNNNNNNNNNNNNNNNNNNNNNNNNNNNNNNNNNNNNNNNNNNNNNNNNNNNNNNNNNNNNNNNNNNNNNNNNNNNNNNNNNNNNNNNNNNNNNNNNNNNNNNNNNNNNNNNNNNNNNNNNNNNNNNNNNNNNNNNNNNNNNNNNNNNNNNNNNNNNNNNNNNNNNNNNNNNNNNNNNNNNNNNNNNNNNNNNNNNNNNNNNNNNNNNNNNNNNNNNNNNNNNNNNNNNNNNNNNNNNNNNNNNNNNNNNNNNNNNNNNNNNNNNNNNNNNNNNNNNNNNNNNNNNNNNNNNNNNNNNNNNNNNNNNNNNNNNNNNNCUGUGGCGCUGAAACAGCGUGGUGAACACCCCAGAUAUCCCUGACCAGCCCAGAAGUGACUACCGAAGUCGCCCCAACAACCUCCCUCGCAAGCAGCAGCGCCCGGUCUACCACCAACCUCAGAGGCGCCCUCCUCCCCUCAAAUAUACCAGUAUUCCUGUCCAACUAUAUAUGGUAGGACAGGUACGCUACACAGAUCCCUGCCUCAACAGAUCUGGGAUGCCGCAUGGAAACUCUCAGCAGAUGGAUCAGAUCCUGCACCAGCAUCACCGAGGCCGGUAACUGUAUCGGUGACCUCCUCCAUAUGUCUCGGGCCCUAGGGCACUGCAGCAAAACAUAAAGUAUUUCAUAUGUCUUGGAAAUUUAAAAAUCUUGUGGAUGGUAAAGAGACUACUGGAUCAAUACCCUUCACACUGACAGAAGAUGAGAAUUUGUUUUUAAUAAUUUCGAAAAAAAAUGUGGAGCUAAUGGUUUUUGCAAGCAAUUGAUAACCAACUAACUAUUCAUCUCAAUAAAACAGCGUAAUAGAGUACAAACAAAGGAUUUUAAGGGAGACCAUAAAAGGCAUGCUGAAGCUUUAGGGAUUCCUAAUAUUUUUGAGUCNNNNNNNNNNNNNNNNNNNNNNNNNNNNNNNNNNNNNNNNNNNNNNNNNNNNNNNNNNNNNNNNNNNNNNNNNNNNNNNNNNNNNNNNNNNNNNNNNNNNNNNNNNNNNNNNNNNNNNNNNNNNNNNNNNNNNNNNNNNNNNNNNNNNNNNNNNNNNNNNNNNNNNNNNNNNNNNNNNNNNNNNNNNNNNNNNNNNNNNNNNNNNNNNNNNNNNNNNNNNNNNNNNNNNNNNNNNNNNNNNNNNNNNNNNNNNNNNNNNNNNNNNNNNNNNNNNNNNNNNNNNNNNNNNNNNNNNNNNNNNNNNNNNNNNNNNNNNNNNNNNNNNNNNNNNNNNNNNNNNNNNNNNNNNNNNNNNNNNNNNNNNNNNNNNNNNNNNNNNNNNNNNNNNNNNNNNNNNNNNNNNNNNNNNNNNNNNNNNNNNNNNNNNNNNNNNNNNNNNNNNNNNNNNNNNNNNNNNNNNNNNNNNNNNNNNNNNNNNNNNNNNNNNNNNNNNNNNNNNNNNNNNNNNNNNNNNNNNNNNNNNNNNNNNNNNNNNNNNNNNNNNNNNNNNNNNNNNNNNNNNNNNNNNNNNNNNNNNNNNNNNNNNNNNNNNNNNNNNNNNNNNNNNNNNNNNNNNNNNNNNNNNNNNNNNNNNNNNNNNNNNNNNNNNNNNNNNNNNNNNNNNNNNNNNNNNNNNNNNNNNNNNNNNNNNNNNNNNNNNNNNNNNNNNNNNNNNNNNNNNNNNNNNNNNNNNNNNNNNNNNNNNNNNNNNNNNNNNNNNNNNNNNNNNNNNNNNNNNNNNNNNNNNNNNNNNNNNNNNNNNNNNNNNNNNNNNNNNNNNNNNNNNNNNNNNNNNNNNNNNNNNNNNNNNNNNNNNNNNNNNNNNNNNNNNNNNNNNNNNNNNNNNNNNNNNNNNNNNNNNNNNNNNNNNNNNNNNNNNNNNNNNNNNNNNNNNNNNNNNNNNNNNNNNNNNNNNNNNNNNNNNNNNNNNNNNNNNNNNNNNNNNNNUUUAACUUAUUACUAACAAUUUAUAUAUAUAUAUAUAUAUAUAUAUACUGCAUAUUUUCUUUUUUUCCGAUUAACUUAAUUCACUUGAUUUUUUAAUACACUUCAUGUAUAAAUGGUUGAUGGCGUGGUUAGACGGGUACCUUGACUCGUUAUCGGGUGACAUCAAGUUUUUUAUUUUUAUUUAUUACGAAGGAUGACUCAUACCAGUAAUACAUCAUGUUCUUAACUAAUAAACUAUAAUAGUAGGCGAGGGUCUGGGUUAAUUUCAACUCUUGCUGAGAAAAACACAAAUCAGACCUGGUGCCGCUGUUAACUAAUUGGCUAAGAGUUGAGCCUUGCAGGGUAGAGGGAUAACUGGUACAAGCUUGUCAACGGUCAAAAAUCAUAGCAAGAUAAACUACUCGGCUUUUGCUUUUUCCCCUGCUUUCUCACUGUAACCGUUGGUCCUCCAAUGGCAGAGAAAGGGUGGCAACAUAGCAGAUUGAUUAUAUAGUUAGUUCUUUUGCCUUAUUGACUUGUGAAUGGGGGCAUAGGUCAGACUCUGUAACUUCUGCUGCAUGUUCUUUCUAUAUCUUCUCCUUCAUAGGUAGAAAAUUAUAUAUCAAAUAUUGACUUGUAAUAUAUGUGGCACAAAAUCCAAUAAAUUUCUUAUUCAUUUCCUUGAUUGUUUCUAAAAUAAAAUAAUGAACACCUACAACAGUUGAAGUAAAAGAGCCAGUUGGAGAUCAGAUGAAGACAUUUUCAUUAAGUUAUCCUAUUCUAACAGUGUACGCAACUCACCCUUAAUUUUGUUUUAACGAAAAUAACAGCCAUUAAUUCCCGACUUAGUUGUCCACUGGAGUUCUCUCUUUUUUUUUCUCCAGAACAAAAGCUGUCAGAAUACACACGUAAUAACAAGAAAUAGAAUUUUUAAGUAUUCUCCAAUAAGCAUUCUACAAAUUUUAACUACCUUGUUUCUUGCGAUGAAAAACAACUUAUGGAGGAGGUGCAGGCAAUGCCUUGGGCUUUGGCUUGACUUCGACCUCAUUCACAUUCCGCACGAAAAUGGCAUCGGGUUCAUGACUGCAAGAUGAUAAAUAAAUUAGUGAUUGCACCAUAACGGUGGCAUUAUUUUAAUAGGAACGAAUUUUAUGAGGUUAGCAAAAUAAUUUGAUUCACUCACGGUGUAUCCCCCUCUUCGAAUGUGUAGCUGGAUGCCACAGCCAGCAGACGUCCAUCUCUACUGAAGGAUAACGCUGCAAUACUGGUUGGGUAUUUUGAAUACUGUAAAAGAACAGAACAAGAAAAGAAAUGUUAUGCAGAGCUUCUCAAUGGUGAUGUACAGGUGUUGCCACUGUAUGAAACUAUUACCUGGUAUAAUCUCUUCUUGUUGUUACCAUCCCACACAUUUACAUAUCCAUCACAGCCUCCAGUGGCAAAUGUUCCAUAACUACAACAGCCAAAUUUAAGGGCAAAAGAAAGGAAUUAAAGGAUGCGUCCAAGUGUGUGGGUGUGACACACAGAGAGAGAGAGAGAGAGAGAGAGAGAGAGAGAGAGAGAGAGAGNNNNNNNNNNNNNNNNNNNNGAGAGAGAGAGAGAGAGAGAGAGAGAGGUGUGUGNGUGAGAGAGAGAGAGAGAUUUUACAUGGGAUGGAAUGCUAUUGCAUUGACUGGAUAAACAGUGUCCUUCCCAGCCUCUGAUUUUCGGUGGCACUUGAAUGCAUACCUGGAUGAAACAUUAUUCAGUUGAGGGAAUCGAAGAUCAGGAAACGUAUAGAAACACCGAAAUUGUCAUAAACACCAAGCAAACAAAAGGAAGUGGAAUGUUGCAAGAAACAAAUGCUUUGGAAAUUUAGUAGUACUUGUAGGAAAUAGAGAGGUUAGUUUCAUUCUAUUGAUUCCUCAUUGAAGCAACGGACUGCUUUUUCUGCAAACAGACUAAUGAAGAGGAAGUCGCUGCAAAUAACAGUGCUAUCUCAACUGUCCCAACAGUAAAGUACUAAACAAACAGGAUUCUUCAUGCAAAGUAGGAAUUCUAAACAUAAAAAGUGCUAUAUAAUGAAAUGUAAGUUUUUCCCAUCAGACAGCUAAUCACCUAAGUCCACUCGGAAUAACAACUUAGAGGUUGAAUACAUUCAACAUUUGCUUCUCUAUCUCUGCACAGAUACAUUUUCAGACAUGCACAUUUAUGUCCUGAUAGAGAACUAGCACUUAGCAGAGAGCAGCUUUAAGUGAAAUCAGAAUUAAUCACAUCAUUGAACAAAUCAGUCUCUACCAUAACGUAGUACCGUCUGUACGAUUCAAGGAUCUACAGAAUAUGAUCUCAAAUAUGUUGAAGUAAAAGCAGCAUAUAUCUUCUGAAGCAGAUGUGUUCCUAUUUCUAGUAUUCAUAUAAUGAAAUUUAAGCAAAAGAACAUACUUCUUAGAUUGGCCAGCCUCAGAUAAAUCAAAGAACUCCAUAGCAACCCGACCUUCCACAGAACUUAGGGCAAAACCUGAAUCAAAGAGCAACCAUAAAACAUCAAGUACAGCAAAUAGGGUGACUGCAUUAUUACCAAUAUAUGGAAUGUAAAAGAACGAAAGCAAGUGAUGCAUGAAAUUUAAUAUAAGAUACUAACUAGUUGAGAAGUAUUUGGAUACUAACUAGAAAAGUAUUUGGCAUGGCAGCCAGUUUUAGAAAUUUGAAUGUUAAAUAUCAUAUGAAGUUCAAAAGAGUGCCGAUACACAAUCUCUUCCAUCAUGCUUGCAGAACUAGUUCGCAAGCAUAGCAUCAAAAGAAGUCUGAAGCGGCAAGUCAAAAAAUGUACAUUCUGAUACCACUUUAAUACUAAAGCUCAGUUGAAUUGUCACAUUAAAGAAAAGGUGAAAGUAAGGAAUGUAAACUGUAGAAAUUAGACCCCAAGAUGUUCCCUCCUGACAACCCUCCAUUUAUAAUACUACUACUCUUAAUUGUCAUGAUCGCUCAUCGUCACAUGAUCUGAUCAUCAUUAACCACAAAGCUGAAAAUCAUAGCCAAAGGCAACUGGCAAAAUUAUACACUGUACUGCAAAGAUAAACUUUCCUAGCUGCCAAAUUGUCAGCCUUAGGAACACAGUUACAAACUUGUGAAGCGUGAUUUCCCAUUGGGCACCAAGCAGAAGACUUUUGCAGCUUUGCAACAAGCCAUAUCCCGGCAUGUCAGAUUAAUGGUGAAACAACUAAACUAAUAAAGUAAUAGAUUUUCUACAUUAGAUGAGUUUGAAGCUGUUUUAAAGCAAAUAUGCUUGACUCCUUAUGCUUCAGGUCCUUGCUUCACAGUUACCUUUGGUGACUAAACUGCUGCAGAAGCAUAAAAUGUUCUUUAAUAAUACCAAUAGCAUCUUAAAUGGCAUAUUUUUCAUACUUCGUAGAUAUUGAUUUUGAAUUUCAGACUUGCCCACUUUGUAUCCAGAAAUAGGCUUGUAGAUGUUUAUCCAUUAUCUGUCUUGAGUGCUAUUCUCACAACUAUAGUAACCACAAAAGUGCAAUUCUGAAUAUAUAGACCGAUGCCUUUGUCAACAUUUUAUCCUAUCGAAUCCAACCUUGCCAACUAUUUUAGCUAAGUCGAUGCUCCUAAUUAUGUCACACGUCCUUCCACCAAGGCAUUCUUAAGCUCAACACUCACCAUUUAGCUGCGGUCUUCUCAAAACUCCUCUAUAAAUCUGCUACUACCAUCAAUAUUGUCAUGUUAGUCUGCUCAGAUAUGUUGAUGCAGCAAUGGAUCUGACUCAGGUACAAGAUGCCACAUGACCUUUAAGUCACUCCCAUUGCCCAUCGUACAUCCUUAACCUCUUCAUUUCAAAUUUAUAAACUUGAUAGUCCACUCCAUGCUGCCUAGCAAUGCACUCUUGCAUAUAGUUUCCAAAUAAGGUGCAAGAAUAAUACACAAAAAAGAGGUGGGGAAUAAGCAUCCCCCUCAAGUGAAAAAAAUAAAAAGAAAGAAAGAACACCGGAUUUGUAGAAGUAAAACAAAAGGGAAAUGCAUGAGAAACACGUGACUACAGGCUAAUCAUUCAGAAAUUGGUUGCUGGAGGUUUCUUUUUUUAUUUUGUUAAUGAAAUUCUUUUGCUUAUAUUCUAAGUAUGUAGAAGUUUCAAAAUUUUCCCAUUUGAGGAAAUCAAAUUGACCUUCUUACAGAAGCAGCUUUCUCAAGACCCAAUAUGCUGCACAAGAAAUGAGUUCCCUGGAUGCUUUCACAUCUUACACCAAUUCCACUAACCAAUUUCUUAUCACUUACUUUGUUUUCUUGUCCAUUAAACCAAGGCCUUAAAAAGCAAUGGUGGUAGCUGUUGGUUGAGGUACCACACAAUGCACAUGCAGUAAGUAGCUGCAAAUAUAGGAGACCUAUGUGAUUGUUAUUUUUGAAAUCCCUAGAAGUAAAUAAAAUAUGAAAAGUAUAUAGAAGUAAACAAAGUACAAAAAAAAAUUCAAAAAACUAGAAAAAAUAUUAAGUAUACAUCGUUACACUUAUUUGAGAGCAUAUCUUACAAUAAUAUGACAACUUAGCAUUUAAAAAAAAGAAAAAGAAAUUUCUUCAUAUGGUAUGCUCAAAUCAAUAUGACAUGUUAAAAUAAAAUUAUAGUGAGGAGCAAGAGGUGGUGGAGUAGGUUCUUUAUGAGGUAUGCUCAAAUUUCAGGUCCACAAAUACAACAGAGAAAUCUGCAAAUAAUCAAAUGAUGAAUAAAAAGAAAAUAAGCAGCAAGGAUUCGUGACUUAUUAGCUUAAAGUGUCUACAUAUUAAACAAGAUACAUAGUAUUUAAACGACCAAAAUUCGUAAAGGCAGUCAAAAGUCAAAUCUUCUUCAAGAAAUGAUUUACCGGACACUUUCAUCACAAACCGUAUGUGCCCGGGCUGCAUAUGUGAGAUAUUAGGUCCUAGGUGGCUCACUAUGCAACAGAAUGCUAAUGCAGAUGCAGUGCAGUCACCAGGCUGCAUCCGCAUACGCUAGCCCAUAUUCAGCUGCCUAGACCACAUUAUUAAAUAUUGCAUUAGAUUUCCUUUACCUUUUUAUUUUGUAAACCAGCUUUUUAAUUCAAUUCCCUUAAUGCAGUAUCCUCUUCUAUGUAAAUUGUGUGUGAAACAAAUGACUAAGAUUUAGCUGCAGAUGUGCAGGACUCAGUUAUGUGUGGAGCGCCUAUAUCUUCAUUAUCUGGUAUAUCAAGAAAUGUGGUUGUGUCCUUUUCACCCGACUCUCUUGCUUCAUAAACUUAAGCAUGCAACUACAUCCAGGCUUAACUAUUUAGGACAAACUGGUUUUGGUUCAAAACAUUCAAGCUAUCAAUUCCACUCAUCCCCCAACAAUAAUAGUGAAUGUACUUGUUUUUACCAGAUUAAAUGCACACAAAUUGAGGUCCACAUCCUUGGAGAAAUUAUACAUUAUUUAUGUUUUCCCAGAUAUAUCAACACGAAAGAAAUGUUAAUGAUUUAAAUUUAAUUUCAGGUUCAUAGUUGUUUGUUAUCUGUGGUGGUGGAUAGGGGCUAAUCUGAUGUUAUUGCGAGCUUUUCCAUGACUUUUACCAAUGUUAAAAUAGAGUUUUCCCUUCUUAAACCAUUGAAAAAAGAUUAGACGACCUUUACUUACCAAAUCCACCUCCGAUCUAUCUAGCGAAAACUACCACCUCUUGCAUAUGACAGAAAUUAUGCACAAUGCUAAGCUAUGUAUUUAACAAGAACACAUUAAGAAAACAAUAUAAAGCCCAUCUAUAUUAAUAAAAAAGAAGUUAAAAUAGCAACAAAAAAAAAUUCCAAGGACUUUUUAUGAAUCAACUAUCUCACUAGUAAGUAAAUGCAUCCAUUCAUGAAUGACAUGCACAAAUAUCCAUGUGGAAAUUUUAAAACUAUAUCAACUGCUUCAAGUUCUUAUAAAUGUUCACCUGUGCCAUUGGGAUAACAACGGACACAUCUAGUUUGAUAUUUCAACGAAGACUCCCUCCGUUGCUCCGGUUGAGACAUAUUGCGCAAAUCAUAGACAUUCACAUGCCUUCCUGCAGUUGCAACAACUAAGCGGUGGCCAACGAGAGAAAGUGAAUAUACACGUUCAGGUUGUGGAUACGUCCCGACGAGAGUACGAUCUGGCCCACUUGCACCUCUAGGAUCCCAGCACUUCAGUGUUUUGUCCCAACUACCUGUGAUUACUUGUCCUGACAUGAUAUAAAUAGACAAAUCAGCACACAUCAUAAAUGUUGCAUAUGACAACUUAUUGUUUGACAUCAUAUUGACGAGUCAGUACACAUCAUAAAUGUUGCAUAUGACAACUUAUUGUUCGACAUCAUACUUACAAGAUCAAAGUGCAAUAUACCAUGAUAAUGCAUAAAUAAUAUGAUGGGAUAGCAAAGAAUACAUACAUCAGAUAGAAUGCAUCACCUAGUGCUAUCAUGGAAUUCAAUCAGUAAAGCAAAUUAUUUUCUAAGACAGAUCAAAGACAAAUCUAGUUACAACAUCUAAUGCUAUAUGAAUCUCAAUGGCAUUAAGGCCGCAUUUGGAAGAAGAAUAAAAGGAAGUAGAAGUCAUUUAACCCAGUUAUUCCAUUCUUUUUCAGCCAAACACUCAUUGGAGCAUUUGGAUCAAACUUUUCUUUUUGAAGGGAAAACAGACAUUUCUAAAAAAUUUGGUAAACAACUGUUUGCCUCACAAACCCCUUUUACCCACUUAACCCAGGAAUAAAUUACUCCAUCUAGGGUAUAGUAAUCUAUUCCGUAGUAAAGAAGAGCAGGAGUAACUUAGCUCAUUUAUUUUGGGUUGAUUUAUUCCUCUUCCAAAGUAACCCAAAUUAUAUAUAUAGAAUCAAUGGCAUGACUUUACUUACGCAGAGCAGAACCGGGUAUAAAAGCAGAUUCAGGUGCAGGUGUGGGAAACCAGAUCGAGCAUUUAGAAUAGGAAACUUUUAGCAAGUGCAGGAAUGGGUUCUUAGAGAGAUGCUAUAGCAUGUGCAGCACCCUAACUAGAAGUUUCGAGCUACAAGCAAUGUGGCCCAAAAUGAUGACUGAAAGAGGAAGUCCUUGCAACAUCCCAACCUCAGCUUCAAAUGGUAGUCAAAUCUAUAGAGUGAUCUAGAAGUAGGAUAUCCAGAGAAGACUGUAGAAUGCUCAAAGAUGACCAAGAUGCCUGAUAUAAAGGCCAAUGAGGUUACCAUAGAUUCAUCCUGCUUUCAAGAGCUAUCUUCAUUAGUUUUAUGAGUAGGUUAUAAUGUGAGCUCAACUGCAAUACCAUGUUAACACAGCGGCCAGUGAACUGAUUCUGAUAUAACUGCCUAUACUUAUCACAGAGUCAGACAAAAAUCUCAAAAAAUAGAUCUCUUGUUUUUGGUGUUGUUUUACGUAUUGGCAAGUGACAUUAAAAAUAGUAAUGGCAUUUAAUUUGUUCAAAAAUAGUAGACAAAUGCAUAAUAUAUAGCUUUUAACACACGACAAUGAUAAAUUCCAUAUUAGAAAUUAUUGAGUUCCAUUAGCUAUACUGACCAAAUAGACAGGAACAGAAAGUGAUGCAUGCAACAUUGUGUAAUUCUUUACGAACAAGAACCUAAAAUUGAUUAAUCAAUCAGCAUAAAGCAUAAGCACCGUAGCCACCAAAUGCCAGAGAACCCUUGGAUAUCUUUUAUUGAUCCAAUAGGUGAGUGGGAAAGAAACACUACAAAUCACAACCAUAACCACAACCAUCUCACCUUAUCCUAGCUAUUUAGGUCAGCUUUAUGGAUCCACAUUCUAUUUAGGGCCAUCUUUGAUGCCAUUCAAUGUCCCCCAUAUCUUUGUUCACAACCUCGUACAUAUUACUUUAAAUCUUCCCCUCCUUGUCCCGCAUCCUUCAACAAUUCUCUCUCCUUACUAGAGCCCCCUCAUAUUUUCAUUGUGCAGCACCUAAAAAUGCUGUAAUAGAAUUCAUAUUCUCAAUCUAUCCGUAUACCAAAAUUUUUUUACAUUUACAUUUCUGCCACACUCAACUUGUUUUCCAGAACAAUCUUUAAUGCCUAACACAAUACAAAAUUUCAGGCCUUAUUGUUAUCUAUAAAAUUUUCUCUCAAUCCCCAAGUUGUGCAUCACUCAGGGGAAAAUGAAUUAUCAACACUGACAUCAAUAGUUCUUGAUAUUUUUAGUUAACAUGGAAUUAGAUGUUUGCUCAACCAAUUAACUUUCCACUUGAGAAAAGUGUCUUUUAAGGUAGCUUUUCUAGCCAACUUGUUUCCCAGGUUGAGGAUUAAAUAUUUAAUAAUUUUUGGACAGACCAUAAAGAGCGAUAUUAAUAUAAAGUGGUUCGAAGCUUAAAAUAAGUCAGGUCAAGAACUAAAAUAGGUGACAGCAACCGGAUACAUGGUGGAGUACCCAAAUGUCAUGGUAACUACAAUUUAUGAAAGACUGAGCAAACAAAAAGGAUAUCCACAUCAUUUGAUCAAGAAGGGUUAUUCAUUGAUGGUCCAAACAUCUCAUCUGGAAAGGUAAAGGUUAUAUGCCAUGAUAGUAAUUCUGAAAAAUCGGAUAUAUGUAUCUUCAUCUUUCAAAAUCACUCUCAAGGUAUACUUCAGAAUAUGUGGCUUGUUGUAUGCUUUUAUGCACAUCGAACUUAGGAACCCACCCAGUUGCCAUAUUCCGAGAUACUUUACAUGGAAAUGCAUACAAUCCUCUUAUAUUUAUGCAUAUAUAGCCUCAUGCAUGAUGCUAACAUUGAUGAGAAUUUCUAGUGAUUUGAAUUAACGAAGUGAAGAACAUUGGCUUGCUGGGUUGGUGGGUUAUUCCUUGACAACAUAACACAUAUAACCCAAUUGCUAGCUUUAGGGGAUGAGGUAGAAACAUAAGUAAACAAGAUGCACCUGUAAAAACCUUUCUCAUUGAUUAUAAUAACUUUUCGUAGUUGUACUAUAAUCACAUCAAUAACUUAUAAUGGGUGUUUUUAUAGUUGAAGCACAUGGAGAGUGAAUUCACACACAGUGGGAUAUAUUUAUUUUAGUUGAUUAUCUGAUUUGAAAUUACGGAGGGCGAAAGGUUCAGACAUAAAUCAAGUUUAAGGCCAUAGACUUGAGGUCAAUUAACAAUAAUGUAAUUAAAUUAUAUCAGACAACACAAGAGACUUCCUUUGAGAUUAGAGUUUCUUAUUUUUAGACAAAAAAAAAAACCUUCAUCUCCUUUUUACUGAGCUCAAUUUCUAAUAAUACAUUCUGUAGAUAAAAAAUCCAAUUUAGAUGGAACAAGAUAAUAAAUCUUUUCUUAAAAUGUAACCUCCUCCACUUGUGUCCUGAAUCUGAUUAUUUUCCACUUAGAAAUUCAUGAAUCCCACAUACAGGUUUCAAAGGCUGUUUGAAGUUGCAAAGUUGAUGGGAGAAGCAGAUGAAAAUUACUGAUGUUGCUGUAUAUUAUUUUUUGACGAUUGAUUCAUCAAGCAGAGUAGUCAAAUGUUGGUGUCAACCAAGACAGAGCUGGUUAGAUCAGAUUUACCAAACUGGCACACCAAAGAUCAAAUUGGCAAACUCAAAUUUAUCUCUAAAAUCCUUAGAUGUUAUGCCAUAAGGAAAACAAGUGGAUCCUAUAUAAAAUAAAAUAAAAAAUAAAAAAUGAUUAACCUUACAGGAAACCUUGAUCCAUCAACUUUCUUAAGCCUACAUUCCUAGCCCAAAGAGUUUCCAUUUGUUUAUCCUGGUUCCACAAAUUUCCAUUUAAUUAUUCUCAAUAAUCCAAUCAAGAAAUUUGUACACAAGGAAUUAUAAACAUGGAUUGUCAUUUUUUUAUAACCCACAAGUUAAACAGGUUAAAUGUUAAUAGUACCAUGAAUGUGCUAAAGUUACACAUACAAGGGAAGCAAUUUAGGACCCAACUCACUACGAAGCAAACAUGGGCAGGCAUGUUUUAUUUGCAGGUCAGGUAUGGGUCAAGCAGCAAUGACCACAAGUUAAACAGGUUAGGUGUUGAUAGCACUACGUUGUUGAUGAUCCUUAUCAAGUAGGGAUUAUUGUGUUAGUAUUGAUAACUAAUUACUAUAACCAGAGACAGGAGAGAAGCAUCAGAUCAUGUAGGAUUCAAGAGGUUACAAAAAUUUGUUAUGCAGGUCGAUGGAUCAAGAGCAGAUCAGUAGAAUGAGCUACUACUACCUAGUGAGUAUGGCUUGUAUGGUCUCGAAAAACAAUGAGUAGUCAGGUCAUUCAGCUCUAAGUCAAGCCUAUAUAUCUUGAUAGACAAGGCUAACCCAACCCAAACCAUUGCAACUGCCAAGUAUAGAGCUAUGGGUCUUAUGAUGGUUAUUUAGUGACUCAUAAGAGUCAUAAUGCACAGAUUAAAGUCUUUCAAUAUUAUAUUAAGAAUGUAAAAUAGGAUGUGCAUAUAUGGGUUUUUUUUCUGAUAACAAAUUUUUUUCGAGAUUCAUAGUGCAGUGCACAAAGUCAUCUAUAUAGAUUGAUUACACAAAACAACAAACAAAUUUUGAAUAAAUUUAACAGAGAAUACAAUUGCAUGCAUAUGAACCUGUCAAAUUGACUGAUCCAUGAAUGUGCUUUAUAAGAACAGGAAUAAAAAAGGGGGCAACACUGCAUCAGUUCAAAAAGAGUGAAAAGUUGCAUAAGAUCAUUUAGUUUGCCUAUCUUGAAGUACCCUAUGUUAAAAGUGAAACCCUUAUAAGGUUCAUGUCAAUAUGCAAUCAUUGAUGCUUGCCUUAUAAAGUUUGAAAUUUCAACAUAUGAUCAGUAACAACAACAACAAUAGUAACAAUAAUAAUGAAAACUUUCAGUUGACAUGGUUUCUCUGUAAAACUUAAUAGCAUAAUAAACCAAAAAAUUUGGCAGCUAUAUAGUUUGAGUAUACAAAUAGCCAGGCAACCUGCUGCAUAAGAGUAUUCAACACAACGCACAGGAGCUUCAUGACGUCCCAAAAUAUCCUCCUUGCCAGUACCGAAGACAAACCUGAAAUAGGAUGGUUAUUGUAAAAACUUUGACUUAAUUGAUUUUCCAACAAGGUACGGUUAAAAUUUUAAAUAUAGGUUAUACGACAGAUAUUCAACAUUUGUUGUAAAAUGGAUAGGCAACCAAGCACCAAUCAUUGCCUUACAGCAAAAUUUUGGAAAAAUUAUGUUCGAGAAAGUUCUGUCUACUAAUAAUUGAUGCAAAAUGUUUGCAACAGAACAAAAAAUAUAUAAGGAUGAGCUAUUGAUCACAAGGCACCACUUAAAAGGGGAAAAAAUCUCAAGUGGGUCGCAAAGUAUCAUUCCAGCUGCUUGAGAUUUAAGAUGCAAUUUGAAAACAAAGUGCCAUUUUAAGACUUUAUAAUUCUACCUAUGUUCCAUGAAUACCUUUAUUGUGAGGUUACAUGCAUGCCUUCAGCACAUCAAAGAUGAAAAGGGCUGUGGAAAAACACAUUUCCAGGGGUAAAAAGAAUUUUGAAGAUAAAAUUUACCAAAAGGAAAGAGUAUUAUCUUGCCACUGUUCUUCAAGAUUUCCUUCAAUAUUUCACUUGAUUACUUGAAUUGCAAGCAGGUAUUAGGUGCAGGAUGGGACCAUGUCUUUUAAGUAAUAAUAAUAAAAAUAAUAACAAAAUAAUAAUAAUAAUAAUAAAGAAGUAAGGAAGCUUAGAAAGCAAAAGUGUUGUUAGAAUCAGUUACCUAGGAGCCCAAAAGGGCCACCGCCUAGGCAAGGCCCAACUAAAAAAAAACUAACCCAUUUAACCUUUAGCCGUUGGAAACGGUUUAGACUGCAAUAUAUGGUAAUCACAACACCCGCUUCCUCGUCUCGUUAGGCAGCAAGUGUCCCAUUUUAGAAGGAUAAAAAACCCAGCUUGCGAGGGACCUUGUGAACCCAGAAGUUUACUCUAGCUAGGCAGGCCAUGCUUUCGACCCACAUGCCUUUCAAUGAGAAACAAGAAAAAAAAAAGAAACAGAGUGAAAGCCAUUUGCCAUUCGGGUCUAAGUCGGGUCCUAUCAUCACCUUUUCUUUUUCCCAUCCUCUUCAAACCUUCCUCACCCUCCUAUUGAUGGCAACAUUGGCAUGAACACCUCGACUACCUACUUGGUGACCUCCCUCCAUGUUCUCCUACCUUGCCCCUUCUCAAACUACUUCAUCUUCUAGGCUUGACUCAACUGCAACUUCUACUUUGUUAUCAAUGCCUUACUAGCAUCCUGUCCCCCUUGCUAAUAACUACACCUUGACUAUGUAAGGUUGCUGACAAUAUGAAGUUAUUUACAAUUCCCCAUGUUCGAGCUUGAUUCGCGGUAAACAAAAAGUUCAACUAUUGUCGGCAAUUCUUAGUAUAUAUUCAUCUUGCUAGAAACAACUGAUUCAAGGUAUAUUGCAUAGGUACCACAUAGGCUCUCUUUCAAAGAAUCAGCAUUCAUUUUUCUCUAUAUAGAUUAUCAAUUUGAUUAAAGGAAAACUAUUCAGUGGUUAAAAAAUUAGGUGUUUGGCUGACUGAGAUCUUGAACAAUUAUGUAGGUACAGACCUCCAUACUCCUCUUAGUUUAUGUCAAAAUUCUGCAUAUGGAUUAAUAGUUAUAGAUGCUUGCAUGUUCUUCCAUACCAUGCAAAGAAUCAAACUUGAGAAACCUUCUUGAUUAGUUGGGGUCAUGGGAAAGGUGUUAUUAACAUGAUAAAUAGACCCCAUGCCUUCUUUUGAAAAGCAACUGUUUCAUAUCUUUUAAAAAACAUCUGUUUCAUAUCCACUUAUCCAAACUUUAUUUCCUUCCUAAUUCCUCCUUUGGCAUCAAUCAAACAUCAAUCUGUAUUGGUUGUCUUUGACAAUUGAUCGUGCCAUAGACUCAAUCUGGAAUCAAUAUUAAUUACCUUCUUCUAUCAACAGUGAUUACCAUGGGUUUCAGUAGGUUCUCUUUAUAGUGAUUACCAGUGGAAAGGGAGACAAAGCAACAUGAAAUGAAGGGCUUCUGGCCCUAAAAAAAAAAAAACUUUCUCAUUAUUUCUUUGUUGAAAGCCAUGUAGAUCCUCGAAAGCAUGAUCCGUCCCUGCUGAAGUAAACCACUCACAAACAUCGACUAACUAGAGAAAGAAGCAGGUGUUGUGAUCACCGUACAUGGCCAUCUAAAUUGCUUCCUUACUUGUUGCCUUUUUUCUCUUCUUUUUUUAUGUCUCCUGCCUCAGCAGCACCCAACCUGGAGAGAAGCAAAGACCCAAGCAAUGGUUUGUAGGGCUCCACCAAUAGGCAAUGGAUAUGGGCACUGGAGGCAACAGGAGACUCUAUUUUUCCCCCUGCUUUUCCCUAUCUUAUUUCAUCUUUUUUUUUCUGCUUAUGUUAUUGUUUUUCCACUUGCUCCUUGGUGGCUAAUGACCCACAACCUGCUUCUUCUCCUUCCUCUAUUUCCUAUGUUGCCUUGUGCUUAACGUUGCUAAAGCUAGCUUAGAGGUUGUUGCUUCUAGGACUCUUAUUCUUCUCUUUUCUCCCUGCUCUGUUAUGGUCUAAACAGAUACUUAUAACAUUUUAAAUGCCUUCCUCCCUAGGUGACCACCUAGGCUUGGAAGGUCCAAGACCAGUUCUCACCUAAGCAACUUCACUAUCUUUUGAAGUGGGUACUAGAGCAAUGUCUAGGAAAAUUGUAAAGCAAGUUAAACUAGUUUCCCAAAAAUGAUAUCCGAAGAAGGUGGUUCCAUCCAUGGUUUCAAAUCCCAAUGGGAUGUCUUGUAGAAUGUUGGGAAAGUAUCAUCCCAAGUAUUAGGACAAGAUUGUCCCAGCAUCCCGAUUGGCACAUCCUGGGACAUCCUCAUCCUAUAUAUCAGGACGGGGCAAGAUGGCAACACAUCACGUUCCGCGAAAGAACUAAGAUGCCCCAAUCCCAUAAGAUUUAAAACCUUGGUACUUGCACCUACCUUUAUUUUCCCUAUCUUUAGUAGUAUACUUAUUUUUCAUUCUUAUAAUUUGCAUAGCGGUAGAAGUAACUGUGGGUAUCUCAUAAUAAGUAGUUGAUGAAAAGGUGUUACACUAGGUGCUACACCUAAACAAUCAACUAGAUAAUAGAAUUACAUACGAGUUCUAACAUUCCCUCUAAAACUGAAAAUAUUUGAAGGUGUGGCAAUUUGACGCUGACCUACCUCCCCAUCCAAACCAAUGUAAAAUAAAUGGGCCCAUGAAAGGGUUUUGCAAUAAUUUGGUGGUAUCAAUUAACCGAGCAACCUGGUUAUAAAUGGUUGGGUAGGGGUUUGGCUCUUCAGACCCAAUGUGUCACCAUGGACUAGAUAACCCUUUAAAAUUGAUUCCUCAAAGAUGGCCCUAACCAUGCAAUGGUUUAUAGCCUGGUUAAGGACUGAUUCAGAUAAUUAGAACUGUAGCAUGAUUGGUGAUUAGAGAAUUUAAAAAUAUAUAUAUUCAAUAGAAGUAGAGGAUGGAGUGUUUGAGAUUUAUCACAUUUCUCCUCCACCUUAUUUUUUUCUUCUCAUUUUCUCACUUUAUUUGAAUUCAAGUUCUAAAACAUCUGUUUUGUAACCAUACUUUGCUAUAGUUUACUGACAUAUGUAAUUAACAAGGAAAGCACUAAUCAGGUUGGCAGGUUGGGUAUGGGUCCAUAUAAAGUAAAUGGGUUUGAGUUUAGCUUUUUACUUUCCAGUCCGAUUACCUGAAUAUAAACGGGUUGUCAGGUUGGUACAGGUUGAGGAUUUUUUUUACUCGUUCAAAAUUUUACCCAAUCCAACGUGGUACAUCGCCAUCCCUAUGUUUGAUAUGCACAAUGUUUCCACUUUGUGACCCUUAUCUUUCAAAGGUUGCAGACCUAGAGUAGAUGAAGAUAACAUUCUUAUCGCGAACAUGCAAAGCAUUGAGGCAUUGUUAUCACUAAACCUGAUUAAAGAGGUGAAAGGUUGAGCCUAGGUUUAGAGUUUAUUGUAGAGAAUGAGGCUUACAAUAUGAAUGGAACCUCAGAAAAAUUUUCCUGAAUGGAAAAUGAUUCGUACAGCCAAUCCCAAAUGUGGGAAUAUGGCUAACUAAAUAUGAACACAGUAUCUAACAUCAUCUCUUUCUAGCAAUUCCUCAGACACAUGAAGAAGACAGUCUAAAUAACUAUGGAUGUUUUCACAGGUCCAAAGUUUUUCAGAUAAUAUCAGCGGUACCAUCAUCAUCCUUAGACAACCUAUAGCGUGCUGCAAGUACCACUAGUGAAGGCUCUACUUCCCCAACGAGAAGGGUGAUGUAUAACAAAGCAUGAAACCUACAGCAAAACCAGCCUAGCCAAAACUAAACGACAACAAACCCUUCUAAUAAGAAAAGCAUUUUUGUUUGUGUUACCAUCCAUGCCAGGGUGGGAGGGGGAGGGGCAGCCUAAUUCCAGUUCCCACUUGAACAGACCAAUGAACCAUAACAGAUAUAGCUCAUAAAGUCCAACUUUUUCCAUCUGGAAUUCACAGGGUUGCAUAUGCAAUGCUGUUGUCAAUUCUACUUGCAAACUCUAAACUUGAGAUAUACAAGCUAAAGAUGGUACCAAAGAAAGAAAAAGGAAGCGCUAAUAUGUAUGAAUUCAAGCUUCUAAUUACGCUGAGAACUUCCGUGGCCUACAGGCUACAGGACAUAAAUGCAGUAUUAUACUAAAACAGCUAAAAUAGCAAAGUCUUUUUUAUGAUAAAAUGAGAGAGAGGCGCUUUUGGUCACAAUAGAUCAAUUUUUCAAUCCCAUCAAAUGUUCAGCAUAGCUCAAAAUUUCAGAAGAACUCGACAGCAGAACUCAAGCCUUAAAAGUCCCCCCCCUUACCUCCGGACCGUGUUAUCAGCGCUGGCACUGAAACCAGAGAAAUCAUCAUGGAAGCAGCAGUCGAGAACGGGGCCUCCGUGCAUGAACUCCCCCUUGAGGACAUUAGCACUCGCGUCGUAGAGCCGAACAGUCUGAUCAAAGGACAAGGAUCCAGAUCCAGUGAUAGUUAAGAACAAAACCCUAGUCAGAUACGAUUAGGGUUUUGGUGGGGGAGGGAGGGGAAGAGAGGAGAGAGGAAGAGAGUUUACCUUGUCCCAGGAGGAGACCGAGGAGGUGGUCGCUGUGGUUGGAGAAGCGAAGGUUGGAAAUGCCAUCGGAGGGGGGAUUGGAGAGCUCCCUCCCGCCGCCGCUGCUCGUAGGAAGGACGGCGGCGCUCAUGGCGGAGGCCGGAGAUCGGAGCGUCGAGGGACUAGGGUUUUGGCUCUUGGGGAAGAAGGGAAAACGGAGGAAAUUUGAAUUUGAUGGAAGCUUUCAACAAAUCGAAAGAAGAAAUUUUGAUGAGAUGGCUGAAUCCUCGGGGAGGAGAGCGGGCGGUCCAGAGCGGUUCAAAAUUUCGGAAUUCUCUUAUUUUGCCCGUUGAGCACGUGCACCGAGGAAGGAGGGAUCAGUGGUCGCUACGGUUUAACCUGGUCUGGGCUCAAUCCGAACCAUGCCAGCCCAAUUCGCUUGUGACAAAGAUUUGGGUGCGGUUUUACGGUUGGUUUGGAUUUGUAGCGACGUUAAUCAAAAUCCGACCCCAAACCAAUCGAGAUUUAAAAUAAGUAAAUGUAUCUUUAUUUUUCAUUUAACUAUAAUUUAGUUUUAAAAUUACAGACUUGUGUAACCGUUUCAAAAUAAGCCCAUCUAACGCAAAUCCAACAAACUGUUUAGAAAUAUUUCCAAUCUUAAAGUAUACUAGCCAUGACUUUGUUUGCAGGUACAUAUAUGUACAUUUAUAGUUGGUAUAUUCAACAUUGUUUUUGCAAGCAAAUCAGUGUAUAGUUUUAGUUUGGAUAUUUAACAUAAUGUGACAAGAUUUUUUUUGAUAUUAGACAAAAAAUAACCUUAUCAUUUUAUUUAGAACUUUUUAUAGAUAUUGGUGAAAACUCUCGCUCUUUUUAUUCAUUUUUUUUAUGUGUACUAUUCUCUCACCACCAAAAUAGUGUAAAUUUUUUUUAUAUUUAACUAAUACCUUUGUAUAUUUCCAUCACUAUUUAAUGGCGAUCUAGCUUUACAUUUUUCAAACCCUCGGCUUAACUUUCUCCACUCAAUUUUGAAUGUAAUGUACUUUGAAAAAGUUUGCCUUGUUGAUGUGUGGAGUGGUAAUCCAAUUCAACCAACUUAUAUUUGCCAACAAAGCUAGGUAACUUUGUUUCAUUACUUGUUAAAACAAUAGGUGUAUAAGGGUAACUUUGAUCACUUGAUUUACUAAUACAUGUUAUCGGAAACCAGUAUGGUGGGUUGAGUUUCUAAUAAAGCAUAUAGCAAUGUUUCAAGUAUUUUCUUUCCGACUCAAAAAAUUGUUGGAUCUGUAAAAGAAAUUAUAAUGCAAUUGAUUUUUAAGAUGUUUUGUUAUAUAAAUUUUAAAUAGUUUGUAAUGUAAUUUAAAAUUAAGAUAUAUAAUGCAUAUUAGCCUAUAUAAAUUUUUUUAUGCUAGUAUGACCAAGAGAAUAAGAUAUUAUAUAUGCCUUCAUUAAAAAAAAAUCCAACUGAAAUAUCAUUGGAUUCCAAAUGUAAUAUUCAUCGAUAACAUCUAAAUCUCAAAGAUUAGUCUAAAUAUGGUAUAAAAAAAAUUAAAUUACACUAGUAAAUAUCCUAACUUAUUAUUGUGAACUUUGUUAAUAGUUAUGAAAUCUAAAUAUAACUCUGGAAUUGAUAUAACUAAGUUUUGUUGAUUUAAAUGUUUAUUCUAUUAUCAAAUUCUAAACUCUUUACAUGCUUUAACAUGUUUAUAUGAGAAAAAUUAAAGUAUAGAGAAUAGUUCAACCAUAUAAUAUAAUUAGUAAUAGUAACAUGGCAUUAAACCUAUUUUUACUUGAAUUAAAAUACUUAUUUUUUUUAUCGUGGUAUAAACAUUAUUACCUUAAUUUAGAAUUUUGUGAUAUGUUGUAUCAUAUAAUCUCUAUUUAAAAUUACUUGCAAUUGUUUAUUUUGUAAAUGUUGGUGAUCAAUGAUAGCAUACAUAUACAUGAUUACCUUAGCAAGUUUGUUAAGGUGAUCAAAUUUAUUGAAAAUCAAUCUCUGAUAGCCAUUAAUUGAAUAGUUAAAUUGUUAAAUACUUUAACUGAUAGGUUGAAAGAUUUACAACUACAAAAUUAUAUUUUAUUAAAUUUAUGAGAGUUCUUAAAUUAAAAAUAUAUUACUUUAUAGUGUUUGUUAAUUUAUUUUGAGAAGAUGAGAAACUAAUACUUAAAGACUAGGUUAAAAUGUACAAAAAAUAUUAGUUAUGAUUUUAAUUUACAUAUUCUAUAAUAAUCUAUAUGUCCAAUCAGACGAUCAUAAAAAAAAUAUUAAUCUCAUGAUUACAUGGUACUAAAUAUUAUCUAACCAAUUGAAAAUUAAGUUAAUUUUAUUUAAAAAUCUAAAUGGCAUAUUAGACUAUAGUUAUUACUAUCUAUAAGUUCAAUUUUUUAUAAUCUAUCAUAAAGUUUUAAAUGCAUGAGCACCAAUUGAUUAUAGUAGUUCAAAAUGAGAAACAUAUGAAGAAAAAAAACGAUAAUAGAAUAUAGUAUGAACAUAGAAAUAAUAAUAAAAAAAGUUUAUCCAUUCUUUAUGACCAUAUGAAUCAUGUGAAGAAAAAAAAUGAUAUAAAUACAAUUUUUUAUAUUUUAUAUGAGAUAUAUUAUCAUAUCUUUUGUAUGAAAUAAUACCUUAAAAAUGUUUUGCAUUUUUAUACUUAAUAAAUAUGAUUAUGCAAAUAAACUAAUCCUAUGUUUGGUUAGGAUGAUAAAAGGGUGGAAGGAUGGGGUUGGAAGGUUGGAUAGACCCCAUUCACCAGUUGGUUCAAAAAAUCUUAAGAAAAAAGAUUAAAAAAAAGGAUUAUCCAUCCAUAGUCUGCCAAUUUGCAUUCUUCCAAAUUGAAAUAAUGCAAGGAAGAAUGGGUAGAGCAUGUGAGGGAUAAAUUUCUAAUAUUGACAAAAUUAUUCUUUAUUAAUUUUGUAACAAAACCCUAACACCUCUUCAUCUUUUUCAUCAAAGUAUAGUUUAGUAAAAAUGUUAUAUAAAUAUCAUCUAUUCUUUAUUCCAUUUAUUCUAUACCAAAAUAGAGGAGAGACUCAUUGCUAUCCAUUCUUUUAUGUUUUACCAAACACAUGGAGGAAUGGAUGGAAGAUCUAUCUUUCCUCUUUCUCAUCCAUCAUUCCUCUUCUAUCUAUUCUUCCUCCAAUCCAUCAUUUAUGCCAAGCAGAGGAUAAGAGUUAGCUAUAUACUAAAUAGUAAAUAUUGAUAAAUAAUUAAAUAUAAUUAAAAAAUGGGCAAUCAAAAUUAAAAGUCCACACCAGGUGAUCAUAAUACACACUAAUAAAAAUACAUAGAGGUCUGCCACAUGCUUGAUAGUCCCCGAACUAUACUUUGAUUCCAAAAAAAUGAAUAAAUUAAUUAUAUGUUGAAAAACAUGUCAAAGCAUGCAAAUUGAAAAUUUAUAUAGAUAUGAUAUAAUAUUUUAAAAUAUUAUCUACAUGAUAUUUCAUUGGACAUUUUGCUUGGAUCUAGCAAAACAUCAUGUUGUAUUAUUAAAAUCAUUUAUAUCAUAUAUUAAUUUAAUGCAUAAGUUACAAAACCUCUAGACAUAUUAUUUUUAAAGCAAGUUUUAAUUGCAUAAAUUAAGAUAAUAUUGCAGCACUGCGAUUUGGAUGAGUGAUCAUUGAUUUUUUAAAUAAUAAAAUACCUUAUAAAAGAUUUAAAACUCAGGCUCUCUUUUUUCUUAAUCACCUAGUGCAUAGAUAUGUAUAUCAAUGUUUUUGUAUAUGUGGGAUCACCUUAAUAGAGUCUAGGUUAAAAAACAAAAAAAAGAUUCCAUCUAGGUGAUGAAUUUAUUGAAGAGGAUAUGCUGAUAAUAUUUUUAAAAAAAUAUUAUAAUUAUAAAUUAUGUAAAGAUAUUUUGAUGCAAAAAUCUUCCCAAAAAAAUUUAUUAAAAUUGCUAUAUAGUGAAUAAUAAACUCUUCAAGUAGUAUUUUACCAUAGGAUAAUUUUGAUUCUGUGGUAAUGGCUAUAUUUAAUUUAGGGUUAGAAUUUGGAUAGUAAGGAAGAAAAAUAGGUUCUAAGAGUUAUCAUUAGCUUUGUGAAGGUAGCGGUCGAUAUGAUAAUAAGAACAGGAGAUUAUGGAGGUAACACAAAUAUAAAAGGAGAUAAAAAUCAAUAGAAAUAGACCUCUUUGGAUCAUAUUAUAUAUUAAAUCAUAUAUGACUAUGGAAGAAGCCUUUGUUUUAACAUUUUGUCAAUAGCCCCAAUUCUAAAGCCUGAACGUUUGUAAUGUUCAUUAUUUUCUUUAAGUUCAGUUUUUAUUUGGGAUCAGAAAUAUGAUUAAACUAGUCAAAAACAACUAACCUGGCCAAUUUUCCAGAAAAAUUAAUGAAUUGGGUUUUGAUGGAAGUAUCAAAAAUAGUUAUUAAAAUAUGGUUUCGAAUAGUUAAACUUCAAUUUAGAGAAAUAAACUCUCAACCACUAUAUAAUUUAUUUCAUGAGCUUGCUAACAAGUUUUAUUAUACUUGUUCUAUCUCAUUAAAGCUAUUUUAAAUAGGUCUCCAUAAUCAAUUAUUUCCAUAACAAUAAUAACCAAUUCUUUUUUCUUUGUUAGGGAAUAAAAAUAUAUUUAUACUCAUUUAAUUUUGAAUAUUUUCAAACUUUUCUAUUCUAACUAUGAAAAGUAUAACUAAAUUUAAUAUAUAUUCCUUUUGUAAUAUAUUUUUUUAAAUAAAUAUCAAGCGGUUAAUGGCUAUUUUUUAUUUAUGGUGUAACUAAAUAGUAGAGUAGAAUGUUGACUUAUGUGUCUGUAGUGUAGUUUUUAAUUAAAAAAUCAUCAAUUAGUGUAUAUAUUUAAUUUUUAUUAAUUGUAAUUAUAUAAUUUUUAUUUUUAAUAUAUCAUCUAUUUAAAUUUGAUUGGACUAAUUGAUUCGGUAGUUGGAUCAGUGAUCCGGAACCCAAACUCUUAGCCGGUCAAUUUUGAUAUAGGUUUAAGAUCCAAAAAUUUAUCAAAUGUGAUGGUCAAAGUUUAAUGAAGUCCAUUUCAAAUAUAUGACAUUUCAAAAGUAUAAUUUUUCUCACAUAUAUCAGAUUUCAGUUUUCCAACACUUGUUAGAUAAGUAUUCUAAGAUCUAAAAAUAUUUUAUGUCUUGAGUCAAAAAAAGGGUUAAAAACUUCAGUUACAACAUAAUAAUGAAUUUAUUCUAAAAUUUAAAAUUUUAGUCAAAUUAGGUGUCCUUUGGUUAAAAUAGGAAUAACUAUUCUAAAUUAAAUCUAAUUAUAUCAUUUUUAACACCGAUAACGUUGAAAUUAUUAGUAAAUGUUAUUAAGAUAAUUUAAUUUUAUUAACAAUAAUAUUAUCAUCUUAAUGUUUAGCAAAACUAACAUAAUAUUGUUAUUAAUAAUUUAAUAUUAAUAUUAAUAUCAAUAUUAUUAUAAUCAAAUAAUCUCAUUAUAUUAAUACCAGAAUUAAUGAUAUUAUUAUUAACAUUCUUAUAUGAUGCAUAUUUUGUUACAUUCUAUAAUAUUUUGUUAUUAUUAGAACAAAACUGGGUGAUUUAUGGUGAAUAACUUGGUUUUUUGUCAUGGCAAUCUGGCCACUCCUAGCAACCUUUUUAUUUUAAUCUUCAAGGGUUUUGAAUUCUUUGUACUCAUACCAUCAUCCUGUCCCUCGAGUUACAUACGCACCAAAAUCCACCUCAAUACCCAUCGCUAGCCGCUAUAGUCGGAGGUUCGAGAACACGGUACGCCUUCCAAGCAGUUGGAUGUAAAUUUAACGGUCAGGAUCACAUCAAUCAACAAACAAAAGCCGUUCAAUUAAAAGCGGGCGACCGUAAUAACAAGCCCCCGGAGUCCGGACCCCCAUCCUACCCAUAUCGGCGGUCUCCAAACACGCGGAUCUGCGUUCCCAGCCUCGCGAUCUCCAAUCAACGGCUCUGAUUUCUUCCUUUCCUUGCUCUCAACCGAUGCACGCGUUUCCUUCUUUAAUAGAUAAAAUGUUUGUUUUUAUUACGACAUGCCACUCUCCUCGCGGAGUCCCUCACCUCUCUGCUCUCAGAUCUCUCUCUCCCUCUGCCUCCCCCUUCCUUCUCGAAGCCAUACAAAUCUCCGAUCCCUUUUCGAUUCUCUCAGCGCCAAGAUCCGGUUAUUCUUCUCGAGAUUUGUGGUAGAAGCGAUGGUUGUUUGCAAAUGUCGCAAGGUAUUCGGGAUUCAAUUCCUUAAGCUCUCUUCUUCCCCUAAGUCUAAUAUUAAAUUCGAUUUUAAUUGAUUUUGUUCUCAUUUUCCCUCAAUUUUUUAAUGGGUUGCGGAGAAUUGGGAAGAGAGAUUUCUUUCAUUCGUAGAAACCGUUAACUGUGCGGGUGUGUUGAGAUCGAUGGCUUUGUUUUGUUGCCUAUUGUUGUGAAUGUGCUCGAUCGGUUAUUCGUUUGGUUGGUAUCUGUUUGAGUGGUUUGCUUCGAAUUGGGUUUGCCAGCGGUUGAGAUCAGCCACUUUUACAAGAAUUGAUGCAAUUAGGGUACAAAUUCAGCUGAUUUACAAUGCGCUAAUCGUGUUUCAGAAUGGAGCGGGUGAAAAAGUCUCUUUUUACGGUUUUGGAUUGAUUGGAUGUUGAGGUUUUCUUCGUGAUAGAGAAACUAUGGAUCUAUGAAGUAAAAUCUGGUGCUUGCUUUUUUCCGUAGAUUUUGGCGUUGCAUAGGAUGAUUAGUUGUACUCAACGAUUUUCAUAGUUUCAUUUGAUAUCUGAUCUUUGGGUUUUCUGAUUUUUAAUUGUUCUUUGGAUAACUAGUAAUGGAGCAUUUUGGUUUCAGGCGACUAGGCUUUAUUGCUUUGUUCACAAGGUACCUGUCUGCGGGGAAUGCAUCUGUUUUACAGAACACCAAAUCUGCGUGGUAACCAUCUGGACUUUUGUCAUACCAAUGCAGAUACAAUUUUUUGCUGGUAUAUUAUGAUUGCAAGGAAAAAUGUUCCAUCUGAACUCAUGAUUCAUGCACAAAAUCAUCACAUCCAGAAUAAUGUUUAGUAUGAACAAAAUCUGCCAUUCCAUAGAUGAUAAUUAUAUUCAUGAAGGUAUCAAGUUUGCAGCUUGGCGAGUUUACGCAAUUCACUUGAUUUAUAAGGAUUUUAUGGAGGCAACAUCAUGAACAUGAUUUAACUUCUGAAAUGUUGCAGCAUGCAAGUUGUUUUGCAUGUCCCCUUUCUUAUGUAUAUUGGUUCCUACAAACUUUUCACAGCCUCCAUAUCAUAUGCUUUCUUGUUGUCAAUUACAGCUGAUGUCAUUUAUUUUAUUUGAAAUAAGAAUCAGACUAGUGCAAUUUGAUGCUUGUUUCUUCUCUCCUAAUAGUGUCAUGUGAAUACCUCAAUAAUGGCUUCAAGAAUUUUAGAGAAGAAGAAGCAAAGUACAAAAUACAAAAAAAAUAAAAAAUAAAAUGACGAUAAUAUAGCAAAUAUAACAAGAGAUAACUAUCCAUUGUAGCUUCUAAUUUCUAAACACCACCACUCCAAGGUAAAGUUCUUAUCCAUAUUCCUUUCUUGCAGUUUUAUCCAUUCUAUUCUAUGACUGAAACUUUGGAGGAAAGUGCAUUUGUGAUGCUUUAUGCCUUUGUCUUUCCACGGUUCCGUGGCAACAUGCAUUGCAUGUGCCAUACUCUAGUCUGCACUAUAUAAACAUUCUAGAUUGUUGCCUCAAUUUCAGAGUAAGAUAAAGUCGCCAGAGUUCACCUCUGUGAAGCAUCAUGGUGACAUUUUGAAGUUUACAUUUAGUCAUGGUCACCUCCCACAAUUGCCUCUCAUGAUUGUUGAGAUCACUCUCUUUAUGCUUAAUUAAUAGAUACCUGAAGCAGAGACUUUAUGGCCUUAUUCGAAUAUUUAAAUCAUAGCCAGUGCUGCAGCAAGGAUUUCUUUUUUUCUUUUCUUUUCUUUUGGUGGUGGUUUUGGAGAUGGGGACUAAUAAUCUAGAAACAAAGUUUCUAUUUGAAUAUCAGAGACAUAAAUAUAAUUUUAGUUAUCUCAAUCAACUAGAGAAAGUUACUAGAAAGAGAGUCCAUACAGUACGGCAUGGAAUUGAUUGACAUAAUGCAUGCUUUUUAUGAUUACAUUUACAAAGAAUAUGUACAAAAUGCACAUUCCACAGAUAUUAUUCAUAUGUAUUGAAACACCUCCUCUUAAAAAUUCAUAAUUAUGGUCUUUAAACAGCUUUGGAGAUAUGUAUGUGGCAAACCAUCUAGGUGUUAUAAGUACUAGCUAGAAAGAAAAAAGUUUUCAGGUUUUUGGAUGAAAAGAAGGCAUCUUAGAAGCCCGAAAAACACAAAAGUUUUAAGGAGCACUUUUUAACUCAUUAUGUGGUUUGAUGGUGGGCAUAGAAGUAGUUCAAAGCUUUUCAAAAUCAUUGAGUUUUGCACAGCACAGAACGCACCUAGACAGCUACCCAACUGCCCACAACCUUGUCAAGUUUGAAACUGCCCUCCUCUAGCAAUCAAAUAAGCCAUCUCUUGACCCAUGUUUUCUGCUCUCUCUUUGAUAUAUUUGUCUUAGUUAUGGAAUCAGUUAAUCAUAAAUGGAAUCAUUUUCUCAUAAACAAUCCUACAUAUGUUCUACUGGAGGCUUCCCAGGAAAAAAGGCAUAGAGGCAAAAGGAAAUUUGCGUUGUGAUCCAACAGUUUGCUGCAUGAAUAGUGAACAGAAUACUCAUUAAAUCAUUAUAACGACCCAGUUUCAUAUCCCUUAUGUUUCUUCACUGUCUUCUGAUUGAUGGCAUAGUCUUUUUGAAAUUGUGAUUGGAAAAAACUUAUGUUCAUGUUUUUGCAACAUGGCAAAAAGAUAGAUGAUAAAGAAAAUGAACGAAAAAGGAAAAAAGAACUUAUCCUGUUAUCCAGGUUAUUAGAGACUUCGUACGAUUAUUUGUCAUCCUCGUCUUCUUCCUUAAUCUCUUCUGCCUCCUUUGCUUCUCUUCCACCUGUAUUUUCCUAUUCUGAACAAAGAUUGGCAACAAAAACCUGCUUUAGAAUAGAGUUGGGUACUCAAGGACUUUGGAUUCAUCGAGAAAUUAGAUAAAUAAGGGCACAAUACCUUGUAUCUCACUGAACAUCAAGAAAAGUGUUCAAUUGAUCAUAAGUUCAUAACCAUGCAUCUGGGUAUGGAUGGUGAUUCUCUCUCUCUCUCUCUCUCUCUCUCGUAAAAAAGCAGCUAACCUACCAAUGAUUAAUCCCAAUUACAGGGAGCAAUUUUAUCACCUAGCCUCAUGAAUGGAGGAAAUGAAGAACUGGGAGAGGGCAAAAGGAUUUGUUGAACGAUGGUUAUAUAUGUUGAAGCAUUUUGGGCUUGGGGGUAAUCUAGAAAGAGCUUGUGAAUAUAAGUUAUUUGACCCACCGGCACAGUCCAUUCCAAUUUUUUUUAUAACUCAGCAUUUUAUACUGGUCCAUAUUCGAGUGGCAAGAUUAGUUGUGCGGCAAAAAUCUUGAUCCUUUUCUUAACUACCAUUGUCAAUGAAAGUUAUUUCUUACUCGAACUUGCAAGUGCCUAAAACUCACCAGUUAGGUUCAUCCUUUGAAGAUAAACCAUCUCUUAAGCAUCUUUUGUUGAUUAUCAUAAUUAUGUAAUUAUCUUUAUAGCAGCGUCCAAGCAUGUCAGCUUUAUAUUCCCUUUCCCUUUCUUUUGUAACUUUAACUUUUUGUUUGUAUCUUUUCAUAGGAUAUUGUGCAUUCUUUUUAUAAUUUGCACUGAAACAUGUUUGUGCACAUAUAACAUGUAUUGGUAGACAGAUAAGUGUGUAAACAGAUCUGCAUUUACAUAUACAUGAAACAACCAAUAUUAUAGCUUUAUUGCAGUGCACCAGCAUAAAUAUAUUCCUAUUUAGUGGUCUAUCACACUUAUUUUUAUCGAUCUUUUAGGUCAAACAAUACUCUGAUUGGGUAGUUGAUGGAGAGUAUGAUUGGCCUCCUACAUGCUCCUCCUGUAAUGCUGCGCUCGAAGCUGGAAAUGAUCAGACUACUCGACUGGGUUGCUUGCGUAUGUGAUUCUUCACCUAUACAUUUAUAAUUUAGCUUUCAAGAAAGCAUGCUCCACAAAAUGUAGUAAACCUAAGAUGCUUCUCUUUUGCUUGUCUCAGAUCUUGUGCACACAAAUUGUUUGGUGUCGCAUAUUCAAAGCUAUCCACCACAAACUGCUCCAGCAGGAUAUAUUUGUCCUGCAUGUUCUUCACCUGUAAGAUGCAUGGGAGGAUCUUUGCAUAAUUUUGUUGUGUUUAUUAAAUUACAAAUUUCUUCUGUCUAGCAAGUAGUAGUUCAAUAGUAUUUUCUUGUUUCUUGAAUGGCCAAAGCAAAAGGAAAGAAAAUGGAUUUUGUCUAAUGGCAUCCGCAAUCUACACAACUUGAGGGGGGUGGGGACAGUUAACAAGUUUACUUCUGUAGAAAAUUCAAGUCUAUCAUGCUUUAUCAUUUGGGUAUAUAUGCUCUGAAUUGUUAUCCAAAUGCCUGACAACCUUAACCCAAAGUUGAGAUGCUUAUAUUUGAGGUCAGCUUUGUCUUACCUAUACAGAUAAAAACCUAAGAAAAUAUAGUAGGUAAAAGAUAAGAAAAGGAGAUAAAAUGCUUUACCACAAAAUAUAAAAAUCGAGAUAAAGAUAUAAAAAAAACUUCAUAUUUUCACGAACAUUGUAUCAUAAUGUUCAAUUUACUACUAAGAUUAUUAUUUGUAUUAGUUGAUUCAUAAAGUUAUGAAGAAAGAUAAUUUUUUAAUUCAAAGUAAAUUGUGGUAGAAACUUCUUUUUUUUAAAUAAAAGAGGGCUAUAACAGCGACCAUUACAUUCUUACGGCGUCUUCCAAAAACAUCAAAUAUGCUCUCCAUGGUUCAUAUAAUUCCCAAUGUUCUAGAGUGAUUUUCAACCCAAUUGGCUGCAUGGUUGGCAUCUGGUAUAUGUGCCGAAGUUGAAGAUCCACGAAAUCCCUCAUAAGGCUGUGGCAAUCAGCGAUGAUAGUGGAAGGGAUGGGCUCACCCCAUCUCAUAAAAUCCUACAUGUCAAGACGAUCACUCUCAAUGAUGACCUGUUGAAGCUGGUGGUGUCAUGCCAAGGACAUGGCCUUAUGAAGGACAAGGCCUCAUGAAGAUCCAAGCCUUAGCUAGGAGAGAGGAAUCUGAGUUGAGAAUCAUACAUUGGGCCAUGAUGGGCCGCCCAACAUGAACAUGGAUGAGAACUACUGCUCUUGCAACUCUGCUAUCUGAAAUUACAGAAGAUCCAUGUAACAACCCAGGAUCUCACCCAAAAUGGUUAGCCAGAAGGUAUUAUUUAGAUUUUUUGAUCCUGUAUAAGUACCCAAGAUCUACCCAGCAAACAAACCAAUGUGAGACCGUCCGUACGGAUUCUCACAUACUCCCUCCGUUCAAGCCGUGACGUCCUUGUCAGGCUAAAGGUUUAAAUCAAUUCAAAUCUAAUCAUAAACAUAACAAUUGGUUCGUGGUCAGCCCCAAUGGAUCCGUGCUGCAGUGUCUCCUAGUCCAUAUAGGUCAUAGGCCGGGUCCNNNNNNNNNNNNNNNNNNNNNNNNNNNNNNNNNNNNNNNNNNNNNNNNNNNNNNNNNNNNNNNNNNNNNNNNNNNNNNNNNNNNNNNNNNNNNNNNNNNNNNNNNNNNNNNNNNNNNNNNNNNNNNNNNNNNNNNNNNNUCAGUGUUAUUUUUGUACUAUGCUAUGGUGGAAGCUCCCAUUGGACCCAUUCAAGCUCCUCUUGAGCAAUAGAAGCCUUUCAAAGAUUGCCAAAUGAACCAGCAAGUGGUAGCAAAGAAACUCAUAGCCCAGAUUGGGAUUGAUACACCAACACAGUUUUAGGACCGAGCCAUCCCCAUCCCCAUCCCCAUCCCCAUCCCUGGCCUGAGUCCAAUCCAUAGGUUGCCAUCCUCGUUGCAUCCUAAGAGCAUUCAGAUUUCUUGCGAGUAUCUACACUCAAAAAGGAAUUGUCAGAUGUCCUCUGACCGACAAGAUUAAACUUACAACAUAUGUCAACAAAGUAAGAAAAGAUCAAUCUGUACCACACAUUUGUUGGUAAUCUUCAAGAAAUAAGCCGCCAACAAAAAAAUUAACUUUUAGAGCAGCAGGUAGUUUCCAUAAGAAAUUUGAAAUUGUACCAUUGCCCCCUACAAAUAUAGUGUUCCUGUUGAGCCACAAAAUUGUAGAUGGAUCUGGAAAGCCUUUUACCAUGUAUGGUAGUAGCCUGUCGCCAACCAUCCAUAACAUAUAUAUAGGAGUUUUGUAUGCUAAUGUUUUUCUCAACUGUCUGGGCAUCCCAUAGCCUUUGUACAUUCCAGCUAUUAUGUGCAAUUAGCUCACCUGCAUAAACCUCAGUUAAUAAUGUAAAUAGGCUUAUACCUAAUUUGUAUAUCAAAAAGCCAUGAGUGGUCUAGUAUCCUAUAUGCCAGGCCAUUUCUAAUAUUGUAUGCCAAGCCCAGUGAAUCCUUUGAGUGCACUUAGUGACAGCCUUACAGCACCAAGAAGAAUGCUUGAUUUACUUUCUUUUAUUCUGUACCUUAGUGAGAAUGUUUAUAAUUUGAUGCCACACCUGUACCAUCCUCAUACCUCUACUCUUCAACCUCAAUUAGUGUCCACUAAGUUUUCUAUCUCUUGUACUGUUGAACCCUUCUAGUUCUUCCUAAUCUGCUCUCUACUUAAAAUUGCUGUGCUUAAAGCAAACAUCAGAAAAUUACGUUUUAGAAUUUAGAAUUAUCAUCAUAUCACUGGCAAACCACACACUCAAAAGCACUAGGUGUCAUAUGAUGGUUUUUCCUUAGUUUAUACAUCUUGAAGUGAGGGUGGAAGGCUGGAAGACUUUGCCAACCCUUUGAACUUUGGAGGGAAGAAUGCUUUUUGCUGCAGAUUAUGAUAUUGAUCCCUUUCAACUUUAAAUCAACUGCUAUGAAAUUAUUCUACUUUUAUAUUUAUCUGCCUUGAAAAUCAGUCAAUGAAUUUGUUUAAUAUCAAGAAAAGCACUUUUUUUUUUGCAGAUAUGGCCUCCUAUAAGCAUUAAAGAUACAGGAUCUCACCUCCAUUCAAAACUCAAGGAAGCAAUAGUCCAGGUAAGACCAUCAUAAAUUUUAUUUCUAGAGUUAUCAGCAUGCUAUUGUUUUCUUUUCCUACCAUAAGCCUUUUCUCAUAUAUAUGGGUUGGUUUCACGAUAUGUUUAUUCCAUGUAAGUGCUAAAUCGUUGAUCAAAUAGGCAACAAUAUGUUAAAAUAAUUUCUGCUGCUUGACAUCAGUAAAUAAGUAUACACUUUAAUGACAUGAUACAUUCUGAAUAUUUCUGAUUAUUGUGACUAUCUAUGCAUAAUUGCAUAUAGGUGUCCUAGUUUUUCUUUUCUUUUCUUUUCUUUUUUAAUAAUCCUCACCAAUUUAGGGCUGGAUGGUAGUUGCAAUGAAAUUAUAUUGUUUAUUUCCAGACAUGCUUAACCUAAGGUUUCCAUCUUGGCUGAUAUUGCGGCGAGAUAUCAGUUAUAUGGGUCUCGGGCAUCUAACGAUACAAUAUGUUCUAAAUAUCAGCUUAUGUUGGCUGCUAUAAACUGUUAUAUCCCAAUUUCUCGGCUGAUACAAUAUCAAGAUACUGGCUGAGAUUACUAGUUUUAUUAUCAUUUGUCUUAGGAUUUUCUUAAGCCAUAUUAAGGGGUGACCUAUCUUUUUUGGAGACUGUAAUUAGGAAACAAUUGUGGUAGAGGUUAUCUGCCAAGAUUUGUAGAUCUUGCAGGUUCAAAAAAACCUGGCAUCAGAAUAGGGACUUUGUGGAGGAAGGUGAGCAGUGGAGGGUGUGAUGGAGGUGUUGCCGCGCUGGUGUCUGGAGAGUCGCUAUGGCUGGGCAGUAAAGGCCACUUGUUGAGGCGAAUGAUUCAUCUCGUAGUUAGCUUUGGCAACAAUGAUGAACGAAGAUUUUUUUUUUUUUUUGCCAUUGUUGAGAUGAAAGGGGGUCCUAAAAGAAUAGAAGGGAAGAGGUUACAUGGAUGUGGAAAAUAUUCUUUUCUCUCUGUUUGUUUGUUUUUUUUUAAGUUUUGAGGAGAAUGACUCUGCAAAUAGUUAAGGCUAUUAUAUGCCACAGUCCAUGUAUAAAAGGGAACAAAUGAUGUAUUUGUGAUGUCAGCUAAGUUUCCAGUAUAUUAUAUUAGUUCUUAUGUCUCGGCCUGCAUAUCCAGAAAUCAUGGAAAUUAUGUUCUUUUUAAAAAAAUUUCCUUUUCAAUCUUGGCCGAGAUAAACUGGUAUCUUUGUUUAUCUCGGUUUCAGUGGCCUACUGAUAUUUCUGAGAUAUCACGUAUUAAAAACUUUGGCCUGACCACAUAGAUUUGUGUGAACUUUCUCUUUUAUAAAGAUUAACUUGUGGGAUCAUGCUGAAUGUUUGAUUCGUUGCAUAAAGUUCAAUCCUGGAAGUAAGUUUUGGAUCUCAUAUUCAAGAAUUCUAGAUUCGAGGUUUCUAUAUCCUGUGUCCUACAUAGACUUUUUGGUGCAUUAAUUCUCCUUGUGAGUUUAAUCUUAUUCCAGGCCUUCCAGAUAUCUAGCCUUUUGGGUAUCAUAUCAAUCUUUCAGAAGCUAGAUCUAUCGUAUAUCUGGCUAUUCGAGUCCAUGUACUACAACUUGCCCUUCUUAGAUUUAAAUUUAUGCUUCAAGACAUCAGAUCCUGUUCCCUAUGUUAUCUAGCUUCUUUUGGGUGUUCGUUUUAGCACCCAGAGUUCUUAAGAAGAUGAGAUAUGUUUCCUGUUCUUUCGUUCAGAAGCUGUUCUACUUCAUGAUCGUUCGACUCUCUCACACUCUCUCUCAAUUUUCUAGAGUUUGAUGUCAAGCAGUAAUUCACAAGCUUACUCACACAUGAAAGGUUGUUUUUUUGUUAUGGAUUAAAAUAAUGGAAUUAUUAAUCAGCUUACUGAACUAAAUAAAAAUUUAUCAGGACUGCACCACUUUAUCUCAUGAAUGGUGCAUGAGAUUCUACACAAACUGAAUAUCAACCUAGUGUUUUUGAUUUUUAUGCAAUGGGCAUUGAGGUUCAACAUUCUGUUAAAGAAAAUGAAGCUUGUCAAAACUUUAAUAUGAUCAUAUAUCAUAAAUUAUUCUGCUUCCUUUCUUAAAUGUUUAUAUUAGAAAGUGAUCUAAGCAGUUCCUAAGCUACAUUUUUUUUGAAAAUCCAUUUAUUCAAAUGUCCUUCAUUUUGAAUAUUUGAUUUUGUGUUUGUUUCCUUAUUGAGUUUUAGUUAUGUUAAUCAUCUUGCAUUUUCAGCCAUUGCUUAGCGUAUUUUAGUUGCCUUGUCAAGACAUCAACUCAGUAACAGUUGUUAAGACUCUUCAAACUUAUUCCACAUGGUUUCUGACAUUUGCAGAGUGGCUUGGAGAAAAAUGUAUUUGGAAAUCACCUUGUUUCAUUGCCUGCAGUGGAGAGCCGUGUUCCUCCUCCUGCUUUUGCUUCGGAUCCACUUAUGCAUGUAUCUGGUGUUGAAGAUAGCGAUAAAAGUCGUGCAGAUUCAUUUACCAAAGAAGCAAAAUACUCAGAUGAAGUAUACUCCGCUGCUGGAACAGGUUCUACUAAACUUUCAGAACCGGAGAUUGUUGAAAUAGAUGGUCCUAGUUCGUUAGGAAACCAAUUUAAGCCAGACCAAGAGCCCAACUUCAUCAAAAGUGUGAGCCCCAAGGGUGUAAGUGAUAUCUGAGCCAAUGAUCAACCAUCUUUUAGUACUUUUUGUGUAAAUUUAAGUUCAUAAAUGGUGCAUUCAUACAAAUGUAAAUGGUGCCUGGCACUAUGAUCUUGUGUUUUAACGUCAUGCAGCCCGGUGCUACCACAAGGAAGGGCACUUACCAUGUUGACAGACAAAAUUCAGAAAUAUCAUAUUAUGCUGAUGAUGAAGAUGGAACACAUAAAAAGUACACGAAAAGAGGUAAGUUAUAUGGAAAAAAGCUAAAUAUUUCCCUAAACAUAAUUUCUCUCUGCUACGUGAUUGGCAUGCUCUUGACUCAAUAAGGAUUGUCUAGCUUGAGAUUAUUAACAUGGACACUAAGCCUUUUUGUUUCCUGAUAAACGACACUAAGCCUUAUUUCAUCUGUGUGAGAUUGAUGCGAUUAAUCUUAUUUCCUGAUUGGUUCCUAUAAUAACUAAACAGUUAGAAGUGCAAUUUGUAUGGUACCUUCAGAUCCCUCAUUUCUACAAGGCUAGUGUGGUUGCCCAUCUUUGAUCAUUAUGGACGUUGCAAAACCAUGACUGAUACAUGUUCUGUUAGCAUGUUUCAUUGCUCAUGGCAGUUUGUGUUUUUGUUCAAUUUUGUUGACGUAAAAUGUUAAGUUCUCUUAAUGCAGUGUUUGUUAAACAUGUAGCUAUCAAAAGAUUUUUUUUUUUUUGUUGCUGUCAUCUGAUGGUAUCCUUUUUCCUUGAAUUUGAUUGACUUCUAGAAAUUCCUGCUCUGUUUGAUUCUUUUACUCUUUCAGUACCUUCACAGUUUUGCACCUUGUCUUCAUGUUUAUGCCUUUCUUUAAAUCCUACAAAGGCAUGCUGUGCUCGAGCAGUUGCCCAUAUAUGUGGCUGAAACAGGUUCAAGUUGUAGACCAAGGCUGUAUUUUUGCAGUCGAUAUUGCAGUCACUUGUCAUGUCCAUUGCAGAAACUGGAUAUUAUGAUUCUCUGCAUAUAGGAUUUGUUCCAUUCUUAUCCAGCUAAUUCUCAAGUAUAAUUGUUUUUGGACCUUUUUUAUGGCAUAUGCUAUAGCCUUGAAUUUGAGGUCUUUCCUGGCCCAGGCAUGACCUGAGUUUGUCUACGUGUGGACCCAUGUCUGGUGCAGUCUGGACUUGAGUCCCGCCUGUGCCAGAUCUAUAUGCUCCUACACCACCUCCUGUGCGGCCAAGGGCUGGAUGCUCUGCUUGGGGUCAUAAGGGGCUGCCAAGGAGGUCCUGGCAGGACAAGAAGUCCGGUCUUUGUGGACUUCUGUCUGGCACAGGCUGGACUAAGGUCCUGCCCUUGUCAGGUCCGGUAGAUUCCAUGGUGUCUUUGAACCCUCGAGGUGGCUGAGGUCUGAAUCUCUUACUGGGUUGGUAGGGGCUGCCAGGUUGGUCUUCAUCCAUUAAUAAUUUUUAGCUAAUGUGAAUUCCUUAUGCAUAUGCUAUAACAAGAUCUAAGUUGUUCAAGAUGGGAUCCAUUUAUAUGUACUAAAUCUUGGUAUGCUCAAAUGAAGAAAACGAUUUUUGAGUGUUCUUUUUAUACUUCACAUUAAUUUAGAGACUAUAUUACUUAUAUCACUUGUUUGUGUGUGUGUAUAUAUAUUUGUGAUUUUAUAUGUAUGAUCAUUUUUAGGACCCUGAUGAUGUUUGCGCAUACUAGCUAUGGCUUAAGAAAUAUACAACCUUUUUCCCUAGAGCCUUGUUGGAUGCAGGGAGAGGGAGGGCCUUGGUGUAACGAUAACGUUGCUCCAUUGUGACCUGGUUGUCACCAGUUUGAAGCAUGGUCAACCUCUCCUCACUUGGGGGUAAGGCUGCCUCAAUCUGACACCCUCCCCGGACCCUGCAGCGAUGGGAGCCCCUGCAGUGAUGGGAGCCUCAUGCACAAGAACACUCUUGUUUUAAGCCUUGUUGGAUGCAGGCAGAGUAUGAGAGGUGGUUUCCUCCCUGCUACCACUGCGCACUGCCAAUUGCUUGCCUUAGCUAUUGGUGAAAAUUCUAGCAAGACUUGCAGGUCGUUGGAGCAAUCCUGUUAGAGGUUGAGAGCUAUUCGAGCCCUAAAAGAAGCUGUUUGUGUAUUAGGCCCAACACAAUGAUAAAUUUCCAAUAAAUAUGCAGUUGUAUGAUUUCAUGGUCCUGUGUGGAAUCUUAUUGUUGUUCUGCAUUGAUUAAAUCCACUGCAUAUUCUGCUUUCAUCUUCAGUUUAUGCACUUACUAGUUAUCAACAUAUAUCUAGCAAUUAAUCAUAGAUAUUGGAAACUGUACAUCCACCCAGUAUAAAACUUAAAUGUGGUCCAAGUAUUUUUGAUUGUCUGAUAAUAUGUCAAAAACACUUGUAUUUUGGAAGUUGUACCUGCCUUUUCGUCCAUCACAGAGAGAGAGAGAGAGAGGGGGGGGGGGGAGAGAAGAGUGGAUUUAUUAACUAUAUUACCUAUUAUCAAAAAGAAAAGUGUCACAUAUUUUUAUAUAAAUAUUAACUGUAACAUAAACAAGGUCGACAUGCAACAGUAUGUGGCCAAUGUUGUGACAGUGAAUUCUAUACAAGCCCCUUUUCCUUUUUCUUUUUUUUAAGUUUUUUAUGAUAUAGUUGUUGCACCUGGACACUUGAGGUCUAUGCAAAGCAUGCCGAUGAGAUCUAGUUAGAUGUCUAAGGACAUGAAGCAGCUUGUGUUUUAUUUAAUUUAGUUUUAGUUUACUGAUUAACUACAAUUUGCAGAUUAUUUUUGGCUGAGCUAAAGCAAGUAGUAAUAAUGCGUUAAUUGAUUCAAAGUGGACCUCAGUAAACUUGCAAACAUGGAAUAUUUUUUUUUGCGGGGUGAGCUGAAACAAAUAAUUAGGUUAUGUGUUGACAUAUUCUAGUUGGAUCUUGACGAUCUUGCAAAGAUGGAGUGAUUUACUAAAUCAUCAUAUAUUAGCAUGCAAGUAGAUUUCAUGGUUAAUUUACUACAAGCUAUAACGAGUUUCUUCUGUAAUAACUGGAACCUGAUGUGAAGUGUUACCAUUUUGAAUUGCAGGUCCUUUCCGUCAUAAGUUUCUGAGAAUGUUGCUACCUUUCUGGUCUAAUGCAUUGCCAACUCUACCAGUGACUGCACCACCACGUAAAGAUCUAGUUAAUACAAAUGAUGUUCCAGAAGGACGUCUGCGGCAUCAAAGAUCAUCAAAGAUGGAUCCCAGGAAAAUCUUACUCAUCAUGGCGAUCAUGUAACGUUCUAGAUUCUUUUAACGUUAAGUCUAUUCUUUAUUCACUGGCUGUUGUUGAGCACAAACACUUGAUCUGGUAUUGUAGUUGGAAAUUUUGCUGCUGCUGACCAUGCGAAAGCCUUUAUUCUAUAUGAACAGUUGAAUUGUCCAGCUUAUUUUGCUGCUCUAAAUUGACAUUUACAUGUUAUGCUAGUCAACAGAAAACCAUCAUUCCAUUCUUGAAUUCAUAUUAUUGCUGUCAGAACUUGCAGAAUAUCAUUUGCAUCGUAGUUUGAAGACACUAGUCGUCAUGUUUCUGUUUUCCAAUAUUUCUUGUUUGGUCCGUUUUCAUGCACUGUUCUAGGAUUUCCUAGGAUCUUGCAGGUACUGGUAGGAGCUCCCUCUUCAUAUAUAACUACAUUCAUAUGUUUGCUGGUAUAUUCCAAGUUUAUCAGAGUGCCCAACAUGCCCCAGGCUGCUUUCUAACUUGAUUAGUGUUAUGCAAUCAUUUUUUAUGAUUUGAUCGUAUCAAUGCAUAUUGGUGUCUUGUCCUAACAAGCAUCCUGGACAUGACUUGAUGGUUAUGUUUUAGGUAUUUCAGUCUUAUGCUGGAAUAUCACUCUUUCAUCCAGCACAAGCUUCUUUCUCUCAGAGAGUGAUCAUUUGUAAGUAUAAAUCCAUGCAAAGAAGCUUAAUGUGAAGUCUGUGUAUAUCUGCAGGGCAUGUUUGGCAACAAUGGGCAUUCUGUACUAUCGAUUGGCACAGCGCAGUCUUGGUGAAGAAGUGCCAGAAGAUGAACCUCAGUAGGUACUGUUUAGCCUUUUCUCAUGCUAGGGUUGUGUGGGAUUGUUUCAUAAACUUUUUGGUUUCUGGGCCUUCAUUCCAGGCCAUUUCCCUCCUGUGAAUUUCUUAAGGCGUAGCAAACAUACCGCCACCUACCUACUCCUUAUAGAGUGGUUAAAUGUUGUUUACCUGAUGUUCAAAGAACUUUUGCUUACCAAAUCAUUAUCUACUCAUUUUAGUCAUUCCCCUCCCUUAGAAGCCAUGUACAAUAACCACUUUUGGAUUGAAGGAUGCAACUUGUAAUCUGCUGAUAGCCCGAUCUAUUGUGCUCAUAGGUUGGUUUAUAUUAUGUCUUCCUUUGCCAUGAUUGCCAUAAUAAGAUGCAGUGAAUGCUAGCCAUGCUUGCCUUGCUGUUUGAGAUAACGUCGCCCUUAUGCUUGUCAAAUUCUGUUUGUUUCCUAAGGUUGUUGAGGACUAUAACAGAUGCAACGUAAGCUCUCAUUGGAUUAGUCUGCCCUCUCCGCUUCUGGAAAUAUGUGCACUUUAUGUUCAAGUGAGGUUCUGACUUCAGAACCAGAUCCUUGUUUUUAAAAAAAUUGUCAUCAAGGUGAAUUUGAGUCAUAUGGAGAUGGUUAUGGAUUUGCCAUUUAACAGGCGGUACUCGUUUUCCUUAUAUAUUUUGGUUCUACCUAUCUAUUUCAUAUAAAGUUAAAAAAGAAUAUGUCUUUUGUACAAAUUGAUAUUUAUCUAGAAGAGCUCUCUUCCACAAUGAUUUUUUAUACUCAACAGUUGAAGCUGAUGAUGUUUGGGUGCAGUUGACUUAGUGGGUAUGGGGAAACGAACAUAAAUAGUCGACUAGUCUUUAUAUAUACAUAUAUUAACUUGGCCCUCUAUCGCCAUGGUUUUCGAGCUAUUUAGCCCUUCUAUACUUGGGAAUUUUUCUAUAUGAAUUAAUGUAGGAACCACGAAUCCAACCGACCAAUGUUUCAAUUCUUCAACAAGGCAGUUGACUUUAGGAGUUGUGGGGAAUGAAUUCAGAAAGUCAAUUAUUAUUUUGUUUGUUUGACAUGUGCUUAUUCUUCUGUCUCCAUGGUUUAUCCAUCCAUUUGACUUCUAUUGAACUUGGACAUUAUUGGUUCAGUUCGGCACGUUUUUAACCAUAUGAAUCAAAGGGCGAAGGCAUAAAUUCAACGAUUCACUGCUUCCCUUUUUUUUUCCCCCUAAAUAUUGAAAUGUUGAUGAGUGAUGUGUUUGUUGACUUCUUGGGUUUUCGGAAAUAUAUUUAGACCUUCAACUUUCAACUAACAUCAUCUAAAAGGUAUAAAUUGGGGAUAAUUAUAUAUUGACUUUUUUUUGGUACAAUAGCGGUUUACAUAUAACGGGAAUGAAUGUGACUAACAAAAUUAGAAAAUAAAAGACUACAUAAGAGCUCUAGCACAGACCUGCGGUUCGCUUAGAUAAAACUUUCAGAGUGGUGAGCUGCAAAGUAAGCAACUUAGUCUGUGGCACCGUUUGUUUUUUUGUAAACGUGCGUGGCUUGGUGGGAGUCGCACUCCUCCAGUAAUCUGUGAAUAUCGUGGAUCAGAGGUCGGUCUUCGACUGUGCAUCUUCGACUCUGGAUCUACUCAAUCACUAUGGCCGAAUCUCUCUCGAGGAGGAGGUUGUUCGCUCUCAGUAUCCAUCUUAUAUAGGAGAUACCCUUCUAGGCAGCUCUAAGUUCGGUGCACAUCACUGACGAGUCGAAGAUCUGUUGAUCCUCCGCCGCUACUAGUCUGGCAUCGUAGUUUCUAAUAAUGAAUUUCAUGAUUUCUGAUGAUAAAUUUCAUACCUCUGCAUCUCUCGUCCUUAGACCCUUCAACUUGAAAAAUACCUAGCGUCCAACACUAUCAAAACCUCAUCUAACAUCUUGAAGUUAUUUUUUUAGCACGAAAAGGUGAGCGAAUCACGUGCGCUUCAUGUGAUCUCUUUCUCUGGUUAUAGGUUUGGAGUUUGACCCAAAGAGGGGCGCCACGACUUCAUCACGAAGUGCAUAAUCUUGAGAUUCGAGGAAGAGAGAGAUGGAGGGAGAUCGAGAGAGUCAACAUGGAGUAGAGAGAUGACCAUGCCAUCGAGUUAAAACUCCAGCCAAAUGUUUGUAUACAUGUCAAUAGAGUUUAAAAAGAAGGUAUAACAAAUAUUUUGUGAAAAAAUACAUGCAUAAUUAAACAAGAUAAUGACAAGGUAAUUAGCAAGUCCUUAUUUUUAAGCUAGCAUUGCAGGGAAAACAAAACAAAUAAAUAAAUAAAUAAAUUCUCUUUGCGACGAUACCCAAUGUUGCACCCCUUCGUAUGUGUGCGUCCUAUCGGACGUGGUCCCCACAUGUCACUGAGAGGGUGCCGUUUUGAGUGCAUCAAGGUGUCCUCAACAACGGAGGUAGUCUAGCGUUGUCUUAACCCAAAAAAAAAAAGGGCUAGUUUUCAAGACCGUCCUUUCAUUUUAAAAGCUUAGAAUAUUGUCCCUAGUCCCAAAUCCGGACAAAACCCAUGUAGAUACGGACUAGCAAUACAUAUAUGUACGACUUGAACAUUAUCAUCACAUCAUAAGAUACAUAUUUUUUAAAAAUAUCUUUUACUGCAUAUAAAAACCUAAUGAUGCACGUCUCACGAGCUUACACGCGUUGUGGCUCCUAAUGAUUGACCCAUUUUUUCCUCAAGAAUCAUGUGUCUGUUUUUUUCCUUGUGUCAUCUAUUUUCUUUUGAUUUUAUUGACUAUAUCUACACUCGUAGCGUAUGAAGCACUAUUGUACUAAAAAUAAUAAUAAUAAAAAAAACCCUUUUCUGUAUGCACAAAAGUUAAAUAAAUAAGUCUAUUGUUUUGUUUGUCCUUGAAGGAGCCAUGCCUGAUUUACACUCCGGAGUUUUUAUAUGGAAUGGCACUGGCCCCAUUCCGGAGGAUCUCGAUCGUAUUUUGUAUUCUGAUUUCUCGUGGCGCACUAACAUCCAUGUGUAAGUGAGAUGAUGGUAUAUCAAAACAAUAAAUAAAUAAAUAAAUAAUAGAGGAGACACAAGAGACAGGAUGCAGCGGCCUUGGACUUCCCCUGGAGUUGAACAAAUUUCGUGCGUUCCUGCACGUUCUCUAAGAUAAAUAAUUCGAUAUUUUUUUAUUGGAUUGUGUUUUCUCUGCGUUUCAUUGGAAUAUUCCUAGGGAGAAUUGGGUUAGGCUUUGGCCCAUGAGAGUUUGUUCUAAACAGCUAAUAGCCAUCUGGUGGGACGUGUAAGGUCUCUUUUGGAUUACAAUAUGGUCAUCAUCUACCCAUGUACAUUUGUUUUGGACAUUGUUUUCCAAGCUGGAUGUGGUUUAGCUUACAUUUACGUAUGUUUGCAUGUAUAUGUGAUUCGUCGCUCUCUGAAGUUGAUCCAAUGGAUAUUACGAGUUGUGUUGCAUGUGAGUCAAGGCAUAUAUAUAGUUUAUGAGAACUGUUUGAUUCCCUUUAAAUACUUCAUAUUGUGGUAGGGCUUUAGGUUGAGCUGGUGCAUAUGGUUGUGCAUGCUACCAAUCAUAAUCGUUCGUUUUUGUGCGUUCUAUACAUCAAGCGCGUAUCUCGGUGCUCCGCUACAGAAAAUAGCAGUUGUGUUUAAUGGCGUGCACGGCCACAUGAUGCAUGCAAUGUAGGAAGUAAUUUUUUUGGCGCAUAUUAGGUUCUCUGCAAAGAGGAAUCUAAGUUUCCUCUCUGGGCUUGGAUUCAAAAUCAGUUUAUUAAUUAGGUUUUCGUGCACCACUUAGCAUAAGAUGUCAUUUUUAAAUCUCAAAACGGGCCGAUUUACUGUGGCAACUUAGUUUCCACCUUGCAAAGCACCUAAACUGUAUCAUAAGAGAAUAUUAUUAGAACUCGGGUCAAGCUUAAUUGUAAAUAAUUAAGCUUAAUUCAGCUCUUAGUUGAAAGAGUUUGAUUAAACUAGUUAUCAAGCCAAAUUUAAGCUUUUACUUAUUUUUUAAACAAAUGUACAGUGUUGGAUUGUUAAAUAAGCUUUAAAUGAGGCUUGAACUUGUCUUGUUUGUUAUGCAAGUGAGCUCAAUCACACACCCAAGCUGUUGUGAAUGGUCCGGCAUGCUAGGUUGAUCUUAUGUAUCUAGAUGGGGAACAAAGUUACAAUAUUCUCGAAAUUAUUAAAAAAAAUUUCAAUCAAUAUCGAGUCUAGCAAGUUAGCAUCGUAUGGUUAAAUUUUCUAAGUAUGAUUAUGAUGGUGGUGUUGUUGCUGCUCGCUUAGCGGGAUGCUUCCUCGCGAAGCAUCAUGUGGCCCUACUAAGUGCACUAAUGGAGAACUUUCACUACUUUAAGGGGGUGCUUGUUUCACGACUGAAAUCGAAAUUAGAAUAAAAUCGGAAUGAAUUGGAAUGAAAAUCGAAAUCAUCAUAUCCUUCGACGUAUUUGGUUUGUGACUGGAAUCGGAAGCAGAAUCGAAAUGAAAAUAUUAGAAGAGAGUAGGGAUUGGGACUCUCUCCAACCAAAUGGCUGGAAUGGAAGUUACUCAUUUUCAUUUCUAACCAGAUUGCCACUACUCGCAACCAGACAUGCCCUACAAGACAUCGGGCAAUCUCAACAAAGAGAAGGCCGAACCAAAGUGACUUAAUACUUGGGCCAAGGAAUCAAUUAGGGUAUAUGUAACCACCAAAUAGUCUAUGAUCUCAUGGUUUCUUAGUCCAAAGUCGGUAUUCAAUAAAUGAAAACCCCUAAGACAUGGUGUUCAACCGGGUAGCAUCUCUCAAACUGGACUCUUAACUUGCUCCAAGAGUCGUGCAGGCUGUUAAAAUUUCGCACCCGGCAAGAGCCAAGCCACCAACUUCCACUAAUUUAGAUGUCUAAUCUAUGUGAGUGAUGCUAAAUGGUGCCUAAUUUGUGCAGCAAAAGCUUCUCUUCCUACGUGGCACAAGUGGAUUGGCACGACUCAUGGGAAUUAUAGUGCAAUAUAUGGACACUGGUCGAAUAUAGAGUUGCCGAGCCAGCAUUAGAUAGAUUCUAAAAACUUUUUGUGUGCACGAACAGGUGCCCCUAUGCAUUUUUCAAUUUAAAUUAUUAGGCUGUCGAAGAUUUAUGAUUCUAAUUCUAAUAUCCUCUAUAAUCUAUCAGUUUGGCUCUCAGACUUAAGGAGUUUGGCUUUUAUUUACUAAAUAUAAGAUCUGAGCAUCUAAUCUCAGCUCUUAAUCUCCAUUAAAUAUAUCGAAGAUUCAAGCGAAUUAGAGGAUUAAAUAAUCUCUAUUAAAUAUAUCGAAGAUUCGAGCGAAUUAGAGGAUUAAAUACAUAUUGGAAACAAUCUUUGCCGGCAAUUGUGGCGGAGAUAUAUCGCUGGCGUUUCUUAUUUUAAUGCGUUAUUAUAUUGCAAAUGAAGACUUCUAACACUUGUGUUAUCAAGGCCUGUUCUCUAAAAAGAAUACACAAAGACAGCAAGAUCACCGACCAGGUUAUCUUGACGCAUUUAUAGGCCAUGAUCAUGCUUAGCCAGAUACAUGGAGCAGGCCAUUUACUUCAAAAGUAAACAUAUACUAGAUCAUGCUUUAUGUUAUCUUCAUGGCUAAAAAAAGAUCACUCAAUCUUUGUAAAGACUUAGGGAGGUGGCCAUGACUGUGUAACCCUAGAACUCCUAAACCCGACACAUUUAAGACACAUUUCUCUUGGUCCUAACAUUGUAUUUCAUAUUAAGCUCUUGCAUUGAUGAUAAUUAUCUCUUAAUUUUGAAGAAAGAGGAAGGGGGUUCGAUUCCGAGUGGUGUCGGCCCUCGCUUCGACUCUCAAUUAACUUAAUCCCAGUUUCACAAGCUCUAGCUCUGUUUAUCAAAGUAGGGAGAUGGUGCUAAGAUAAUUACUAGAGAAAAUUAGUCCUACCUUUCUUUCUUUUUUUUGGUUGUAACAGGGCAUUGGAGGUGGUGCCUCAGGAUUAUUAAAAUUUGCCUCUAUAAACUUAUUUCUUCCUCAAGUCCGUGACCUGAAACUUUUGCAAUGAUAUUAGCAAUUAGUCGCAUGGGCCAUAACUUGCUUUAUAGGUGGCACAUAUUUACAAUAUAAAAUGACUAUGGAGCAAUUUUUUUUUUAAAGUUAACAGAAAAUGCCCUGCACAAUAAUUGAGCUCUUGAUUAAUGCAACACACGCCCAUCCUUUUCUUUCUCUUUCUCUCUUUUUCUCGCGCGCGCACAAGUAGACAGACUUUACUCUUUUUGAAAGCGAAGGAUAUCUAAUUCUCUCAAUCUAAACUCAAUAAUAAGAUACUUAAAUCAAUAAUCCAUACUAUUGAUCAUAAUCUAUACUAGUAAAAAUACCUUAAAGCCAAAAAUCACAUAUUUGAGAGUCUCUAAUCUAUGCAUCGAACAAAUACAACAAUGAAUGGUUAAAAUGAUAUGGGUAUACAAUCUAAGUAUUAGAAUAUGUUAAAUUUGAAUCUCUACAAUUUUUAAGAAAUAUAGAUUAUGAUUAAUAUCUCUAUAUAAUGUAAACCAUCCACUUUUUGCCUGCUUGAUAUAUAAGUUAGAGAACAUCAAAACAUGCAUUUUUUUAUUUCUAAAUAUUUUAGUUGAUAUAUAUUAUGAUAAAUUGUGUAGAUCUUCGAAUUUUGAUUGUUGAUUUUGGAUCUUAGAGGAGAUACCUAAAAAAAAUAAAGAAGAUACCAUGAUAAAGCUACUUAAAUCAACACUUUUAUCCACCAAGUCAUAUAUGAGCUCCUCAAGACUGUUAAGACUGAUGAGCAUCCCUUUGAGAUCUCGCUAAAGUCUCAUGGUGGUAGCACCACGAACAUAGGAUCGAGUUCUCAGGAAAGGCUACGUUCUAUUGGUGUAGCCAAAAAAAUUCUACAGCCUUGUGUAUCAAAAGAAAGUGACCAAAAUGACCUCCCAAGUCCCAAGCCACUUUUGCUUGAUUGGUGAAAAAUAAUUGGUAUCAACUCUCUCUCUCUCUCUCUCUGCAUUUUUUCUUUUCAGAAAAGAAAAAAUGCUGUUGUUUCUACAAAUAUAAGUAGAGAGAAAAAAGACGACUCCUUUCAGAUGGAGAUGGAGAGAACAAACAAAAUAAUGGGCAAGUGUUAACUUAGCACAUUCCUAAUACUCAUUGUAAGAAAAGACUAAAACUGUAGAAGCUGCAGAAUAAUGAAUCAACACAAAAAAUUUCAUAGAGUGAUUUUGGAAGUCGCUUUAUUUUUUCACCUCAAGCUCACAGAGAGGACUGACGUUUAAUCCAUAAAGUGCUUAGAAUUGUUUGUAGCUGCCAAAAACCAUGAUAUCCUAACAAUCUGUAAGCCAGGGAAUGUGCAGCAUCCGUGGGAGACAAUAGAUCACUUCUUCUGAUGCUCUGUCCCUUUUUCUUUAGAACUCCUUCAGAAUUUUCAGAACUCCUCCCCACGUUCCUGCAGGCCUCUUCUCUUCCCCUCCUUUCUUUAUUCCCACAAAAAAAACAACAAAAAAAAACAUCCCUAGAUUAAUUUAAUCCCUUAACAACACUCCCCACGUCCUUCCUACCUACAUUUAUAGUCUAAGCCUCUCCUAAUCAUAAGCUUAUCACCUUUCCAAUCAUUCGCUUUAGACCCUGGGAGCCCUUAUAUGAAUCCCAGUGAAUGCCAACUUCACAAAGUCUUAGAUAAGCUAUUUUGUUAUUCUCCUGCGAAGAAACCCUUCUUUUUUUUUUUAUUCCAUCAUUGCCUGAAUUUAGCACUCUUUGAGCUGUAUCGCCCCCAUGGUGGACUAUGAAAUAUGUUUAUUAUUGAUAACUAAACGAUUUUCUGCCAACUGAAGCCAACUCUAUGCUUGUCGCAUUCUAUAAAACCAACCAUUAUAAGUACACAAUCAUCAGCUUCGUUAGGCCUCACCAAGCCAUUCUAUCAGUGCUCAUUCCACCUUGAGUCCCUCCUUUUGUAUCACCACCCAGAUUUCUAACUCCGAAAUGGAGCCUGAAGGAUUGGUCUCAGAAGCAAGCUGGAACUCAUUCGAUGCAGUGAUGUCGGCCGAGGAGUCUGAGAUGAUUGCACACCUGCUAGGUGGCCACCAAUUCCUGAAUGAGCUUGAUCAAGACCCGACCAUCGAAAUGCCACCAAUCUUUGGGCCGGACCAUGGUGCUGAUCAGUAUUAUUGUUUGCAUGAAACUAGUUACAAUCCAUACUAUUGUUCUCAGGGGACAAGUAGCACUAGUACUAGUAGUUUCUCUCUUCCCCUUGCUGACAAUGGAUGCAGCUACUUGAGUGAUUCUAAUGCUGUUCCAGAGAUCAGCAUCAGUCCCACCACCACAGUGGAUUUUAGCAUUGAGAAAGAGCAAAUCGUUGCUCCAUCCCUUGCUGUUGUUUCCUGUCAUCAAUUUAAUGAGCCAAUUUGUGCGACAGAGAAGACAUGCAGCGACGAAUUCAGAGUCUCAAAGGAGAAGUCAUCGGCGCCUGCUCUUCCUUCUCAUCAGAACUCACAAGCCGCCAAGAAAAGGAUGCAUGUAAGUGAUGCUGAGCAGCCCACUACAAAUGAAAAAGAUGGCACCUCGAUUGGAAGUCCUAAGAAGAAGGCUCGGGCCUCGACACUGGUGAGUGUGCAACUUCUUUUCUAACUACAACUCUACACAUAUCUGAUCUCUAAGUUUCCAUUGGAGUACUUUCUAGAUAUUCUGAUGAAGAGAGUGCUACAUAUAUUAGGUACCUAAGAAGGGGAAGAAUGCUCAGUCUAAGAAAGCUCAAAAGAGUGUAUGUACUGGCAAUGAGGAAGACAGCAAUGCUGACUUAAAUGGGCAGAGCUCCAGCUGCUACAGCUCGGAGGAUGAUUCAAAUGCCUCCCAGGAGCUGAUCGGAGGAGGAAAAACAAGAGCAGGUCGGCGGUCGGCGACUGAUCCCCAGAGCCUCUAUGCAAGGGUAAAUACUUGGAUUUCAUUUGAAACCUAUGGUGCAAUAAUCCUGCUGCGAACAUUUUGGGGUUCUGAUGUCGUUGCCACUUCAAUAAUUUCAACAGAAAAGGAGAGAAAGAAUCAAUAAGAGAUUAAGGAUCCUGCAGAGCUUGGUUCCCAAUGGGACCAAAGUAAGUUUUGGUUACUGCAUUAGUCCUGCUUUGCUACAAAAUUUUCAGAUUGAAAUAUGCCGGAUAGUUAGUGAGUUGAAAUGGGUAUGAUCUUACAGGUAGACAUUAGCACAAUGCUUGAAGAAGCAGUUCAAUAUGUGAAGUUUCUCCAACUCCAAAUUAAGGUGAGGAUUCUCUGCCUCAUUUUAGUGUUAAAGUACAAACUAAAUUCAACAACACAAAACUAAAGGACACGUUCAUAAACAAGUCCAAAUCUAUUGAAGACUUAACAACCAUACAUUUUCUUUUAUCCUAAGACAAGGUAGUUUGAUGUAAUUAGCAUUUAAACCAGUUUACUCAAGAUAUCUGAAUUGUAGUAAUUUUUCUCCAAUUUAUGUGUGCAGCUUUUGAGCUCGGACGAGCUGUGGAUGUAUGCUCCCAUCGCUUACAAUGGGAUUAACAUUGGACUUUGAUCUAACAAUAUCUCCACCUUCAACAGUGAGAUCCAAAUGGACUCAAGACUUUUGAGAUUGCACCAGCACUCACAGCCAAAGAGAUGGUGCUGCAUCUAUGUUGUUUGCAAGUCUCUCAAAAUUAUAUCAUUAUUCUUUUUUUUAUAGAUUCAUUACUACAUAGUAAUAGGUGCAUCUAAAUAAGCUAUUCUUCUAUCUGAGGACUGAGCUUAAUGAUCACAUUGAUCAGUAUCUCAGAGAUUUUUACACCGAUCUCUGAGUGUGGGAUGUAGAUGGGGUGAACCCCCACUUUCAAAACAUCGACACCAAUUCUUCUGUUCAUUAUAUGUAAAAUUUCCUAUUGAAAUGAGCUUGGCACUGCUAAAACUCUUUCCUCCAAGAUAGCAAUGACCAAUGGAGGCUAAUCACAGUUACAACUCCGGAUUACGGCUAUACAACCCUGAAUGGACCCAUAAAAUAUAAAUGGCAUCAGGUCGACUUGGGUUUCACCAGGAUUGGGCUAUGCAAUGGGGGUUAGCCCUCUCCUAAAUAGCCAUGCUUACACUUAAAACUGAAUCUUAAUAAUUAAAAUAGGUUGAUUGAUCCCUGAUUCAAUAAAAUUUCUUCAAAAAUUAGCAGCCUUUGUGUCCAUUAUGGGCUUCGUUUGGUUCUAUUUUUGUCAUUAAAAUGAGUAGGACAAGCUCUAUAAAGUGUUAUUUUAGCCAUAGUUUAAGGGUUAGCCUAAUCCAUGUAAAAUGGUUCAGCCAAUGAAUGUGGGAGAAAUCUCUGUAUUGGAAUGCGGCCUUCACCUAGCGGUGAUAGCUUUGAAGAUCAUGGAAAGGUUUUAGCUUGCCAUUGGCAUCAACCAUGUCUGAACUCACGGCGGUGGUGGGGAGCAAGUGGUGCAAACCCACCCAUAUAUUACUGAGAUGAAAUUCACGCAUGAGGAUAAAAGUGGAUUAGAUAACAUCAUAUGCAUAUCCAAAUCUAUGUAAAUAUGAAUGCAUAUUUAAGCAUCCAACUAAUACCCAUAUCUAUAUUCAUAUUCAUGAAAAAUAGAUAUAGACACGAAUAGACAAUUACUCAAUUUGUAUUACAUUAUCUGGUUCUAUUUAUAAUUCUAUAUAACCUUUAAGAAAAAUAAAUAACUAAUCAUAAUAAAUUGUUAUUGACUUAAUUUACCUACCACUCUGUGAUAAUUUUGAUUUGAUGACAUUAAGUUUAACUAUCUAACUUAUAUCCGAUAUCCAUACUUUCAAUUUAUAAUUUGUAUACAUAUCCAUGGAAAUGAAUUUUGUAUCCAGUUGAUAUCUCAACCACUUCCAAAUUUUGUGGCAUGCAUGGUUUGCAGACUUUAAGCUUGAGUUCAAUAGUGGACAUGGAAACAUAAUAUGGAGAACUAGGAGGUAGAUGAUGGUUAGGCCAGCAUGCAGAGGGAAUGGCUAGAGAAAACUGGGCAAAAGAUUUAGGAAGCAACAGCUUGGAGGGAUUCCAAUUUUAGCAUAUAUAUAUAUAUAUAUAUAUUUAUAUAAAAGAAAAGGCAUAGAUUCUCAAAAGGUACAGAUCUCGAAAUAUAUAGUGUGGAUGGAUGUCCCCCUAAAAAGAACAUUAACGUGGGUGAAGGGGUGAGAAAGAGAGAGAGAGAGAGGAGGGCAACCAUUACGAUUCCAAGCCCUCACAUGGAAUAGAGGUCAGCUUUAGAGUAAAAUUUAUGAACGAGCAUCCUUUGAACAUGAUGCCAGAUUAUUCGCCAAGACAAAUUCCGACAAGAGAUUACCAAUGAAAACCACAUGUGUAGUCAGCAAGCAGGAAAAUCUACUGAUCUACUUUACUAGUUGCAAUUUAAACUUGUACACUGGCAACACGUAUGAAAUAAGAAACCAUCCUAUGGAGCACCAUCUCUAGAAUUUUUCCAUAAAUUAUGUUGUCAAAUCACAUAUACAGAGAUGAUUAAGUCCAGAAUCUAUAAAUGUCUUGUGCUGAUAAGAAUAAGAAUCUAUAUUGUAAUUCCAGCUCAUGCAACCAAGGAACAAUCAUAUAAAUAAAAAAAAUAUUAGAAUAUUGUCAUGCUGGUCUAUCGCCGUAUGAACUAAAAAGGCCAUCAUACCACCAAGCACAAUUUCUGUUGAGCAUUCAUGCUUUUGGCUAUGUUAUCAAACUACAAGUAAGAUUUGGGAUAUGAUGUGCACAAAAACCUAUACAUGUACUGUCUUGANNNNNNNNNNNNNNNNNNNNNNNNNNNNNNNNNNNNNNNNNNNNNNNNNNNNNNNNNNNNNNNNNNNNNNNNNNNNNNNNNNNNNNNNNNNNNNNNNNNNNNNNNNNNNNNNNNNNNNNNNNNNNNNNNNNNNNNNNNNNNNNNNNNNNNNNNNNNNNNNNNNNNNNNNNNNNNNNNNNNNNNNNNNNNNNNNNNNNNNNNNNNNNNNNNNNNNNNNNNNNNNNNNNNNNNNNNNNNNNNNNNNNNNNNNNNNNNNNNNNNNNNNNNNNNNNNNNNNNNNNNNNNNNNNNNNNNNNNNNNNNNNNNNNNNNNNNNNNNNNNNNNNNNNNNNNNNNNNNNNNNNNNNNNNNNNNNNNNNNNNNNNNNNNNNNNNNNNNNNNNNNNNNNNNNNNNNNNNNNNNNNNNNNNNNNNNNNNNNNNNNNNNNNNNNNNNNNNNNNNNNNNNNNNNNNNNNNNNNNNNNNNNNNNNNNNNNNNNNNNNNNNNNNNNNNNNNNNNNNNNNNNNNNNNNNNNNNNNNNNNNNNNNNNNNNNNNNNNNNNNNNNNNNNNNUAUUUUUGAUUUUAUCUACCAUCAAAAAUGUGAUAUUGGCAGAACUUCCAAGGUUUCACACAAAAUCCUAAAGCAACUUUGCACAAACAUGGCUCUUGUAUUUACUCCAAGCUAGUUGGCAGGUAGGAAAACUUUUCUUACCGCCUUUUUGGUUUAAGCUAAUGCAAGCAAGUAAUUACCAAAUUGAGGUUUAUGGGAUGAAAUAGUUCCCAUAAAGUAUAAAGAAGGAAGCAUUUGAUAUAGGGAACUGCAUUUAAUUUUAAGGCCCAGAAACUGGAAGCCAAAGAGACUGUGAACAAAAUCCUCAUCACAGGGACCACAAAACUAAUGAAUUUAAAUAUAGUCGGCCAGAAAUUAUCAACUUACCCUCAACCUAUAUUUGUACAAAAUAUAUGCUCCAAAAGCAGCAAAAGCCAAGACUCCUAAGAUCACCCACACAGCAGCCUGUGUUGCCUUGGCUUCACCAGCGCUCUUACCUGCAAAUAAAACAUCAAAACAAUAUCAAGCAACAGAGUUUUACGAAGAUGUUGACUAUUACUCAUGCUAAAUUACAAAUCUCACUUAUGCAAGUGUCAUGUUCUCUGAUGUACAGAAGAUCUCCACUACAUGUGCACUCGUAACUUCCCCAAGUAUUUUUGCAGCUGCAUUCAGGGCACUGGCAUGCUGUCUUCUCCUUGCAUUCAUCAAUAUCUGUGGAUGAAAAAGGAUAUGAUUACCUAGAAUGACAAAUUUGCCAGAGUUUGAUCAUCUGACAUAUAUAGGAAGAUUUUUUUUUUCUUUUUGCAAUAUGAAAUGCUGAGAUGAUUUCUUGAGGUGUAAAGCAAAUAAAUUUACAUGAUUUGAGCAUCAAUUUUAACAAGAUCCAAUAUAUGUAUUAUCAGACACAACAUUAUUGUAAUGAAUANNNNNNNNNNNNNNNNNNNNNNNNNNNNNNNNNNNNNNNNNNNNNNNNNNNNNNNNNNNNNNNNNNNNNNNNNNNNNNNNNNNNNNNNNNNNNNNNNNNNNNNNNNNNNNNNNNNNNNNNNNNNNNNNNNNNNNNNNNNNNNNNNNNNNNNNNNNNNNNNNNNNNNNNNNNNNNNNNNNNNNNNNNNNNNNNNNNNNNNNNNNNNNNNNNNNNNNNNNNNNNNNNNNNNNNNNNNNNNNNNNNNNNNNNNNNNNNNNNNNNNNNNNNNNNNNNNNNNNNNNNNNNNNNNNNNNNNNNNNNNNNNNNNNNNNNNNNNNNNNNNNNNNNNNNNNNNNNNNNNNNNNNNNNNNNNNNNNNNNNNNNNNNNNNNNNNNNNNNNNNNNNNNNNNNNNNNNNNNNNNNNNNNNNNNNNNNNNNNNNNNNNNNNNNNNNNNNNNNNNNNNNNNNNNNNNNNNNNNNNNNNNNNNNNNNNNNNNNNNNNNNNNNNNNNNNNNNNNNNNNNNNNNNNNNNNNNNNNNNNNNNNNNNNNNNNNNNNNNNNNNNNNNNNNNNNNNNNNNNNNNNNNNNNNNNNNNNNNNNNNNNNNNNNNNNNNNNNNNNNNNNNNNNNNNNNNNNNNNNNNNNNNNNNNNNNNNNNNNNNNNNNNNNNNNNNNNNNNNNNNNNNNNNNNNNNNNNNNNNNNNNNNNNNNNNNNNNNNNNNNNNNNNNNNNNNNNNNNNNNNNNNNNNNNNNNNNNNNNNNNNNNNNNNNNNNNNNNNNNNNNNNNNNNNNNNNNNNNNNNNNNNNNNNNNNNNNNNNNNNNNNNNNNNNNNNNNNNNNNNNNNNNNNNNNNNNNNNNNNNNNNNNNNNNNNNNNNNNNNNNNNNNNNNNNNNNNNNNNNNNNNNNNNNNNNNNNNNNNNNNNNNNNNNNNNNNNNNNNNNNNNNNNNNNNNNNNNNNNNNNNNNNNNNNNNNNNNNNNNNNNNNNNNNNNNNNNNNNNNNNNNNNNNNNNNNNNNNNNNNNNUAAAAAAUAAAAAAAAUUAAGUAGUACAUAUUACAUAUUUAGAAAUAUUUCUGAAGUAAAUUUUUUUAAAAAUUUAUAGUAUUUAAACAUAUUUUUAAAAUUUAAAAAAUUAUUAAAAAAUAUAUAAAUAAAUCAAAAAAUAUGAAAAAUUAGUACCAUAUAUUAGAUAAGUUAGAUGUAUUUUCUAAAGUAAAAAAAUAUUUUUUAAUCAUCAUAACAUUUUGCUAUUUUAAAAUAAUUGAUAAACCGAGUUACUUGAUAAAUCUGCAAGAAUGGAACUAUUAAAGAAAGAGGCUAGAGCGACACAUUGGUUGGGAUUAUGGGUAAAUGCUCUUGAGUUGGCACCAUUGGAAGUGCAACUAGUGCAACAUAUAGUUCAAUGGUGGAAGGAUAACCAGGUUGAAGUAGCACCUAGCUGGUAGUUAUCCCGACGUAUCUAUGUACCGGAAAUGCUGCUGAUGAAGCAUUUCAUUCAUUUUAAAGUAGCAAAGUAGAGGGUUUCCAAGAAGCUGGAGAUGGACUGCCGAGCGGCAGAGCCCUUUCUAUCACUCCAGAAAAUUAGAUGAGGCGUGUGCUCCAGAUGAUGAGACAGAUCCUGGUUGUCAUUCAAACGAGCCUAGAUGAUCAGUGGCAGCAGGAUGAGGUGGCCAGACAUAUGGCUCGAUUUGGGCCCUCAUACUACGUGUCGGGCUCCAGUUUUGCGAUCUAGAGUUCAGAAGAACUUCCUCAGUUAGGAAGGCUGUCGGUAGAGGUGGUGGCUGUAUAUUAGAUCCUAUCAUCCGCAGCCAUAGGCGCCGCACCUAUGACCUAUAUAGAUACGGAUAUGGAUAUGGUAUGUCUGAGGCAUUGUCUUCCGAUGGUAACUAUCCUACGUAGCCCGAAGCAUCUUAGAGGUCAAAUUUUGCUGCUGGCAUAUUCGGAUGGGCUCCUCCAUAGCCGUAUUAUCAGCCAAAGGACAUCUCUCAGAGCUAGAACUUCAGCGAGAUAUUCUUAUAAUCCAGAGUGCGUUCUUUAUAGGAUGAGUGUACAAGACUACAAUAUUGUUUAGUUAGAGGAAUGGGUUGAUAUGCCUUCUGAUUAUGCUAAUGAUCUGGAUAUCUACAAGAAGCAUUUCCACCCAACGAGAUUUUAAAUAUCAAUAUGUAUAUUGUACUUUAAAUAUAUGUAAUUGAUUGUAUCAUUUUGUAUUUUGUAUCACAUUAAUUGAUUUUAGGAUACUUCAUGUUGCUUCUUGUAGCAUGCAACAUCUCACUAAUCAUUUUAUAUUUUGUACCAUUUUAAAACAACAAGAUGCAUCAUUUAGGUUAUGUCGGAAUCAUAGAAACAUUAAAAAAAAUCAAAAAACAUUAAAUUAUACUUAAAAUGAUUGAAAAAAUGAAAAAAAAAAUUACCAAUAAAUCAAACUUAAAAAGCUUUAAAAAAAAUUUGGCGUGUCAAUUCAGGAUUGGCAUGCCUUGGCAUACCGUGUCGGUAUGAUACCGAACUGAUACCGUACCGAGCUGUUCGCUAACCGAUACGGGUUCUAGUACUGGUUCGGCGAACCUUGAUACAUAUUAUUUAUUUGCAUAGUUUCGACAAGUUUUAGGCUAAAUUAUUUCUUUUUUUAAUAGAAAAUGAAGUAAGCACUCCACCAAACUUCAGUAAGGGAAUGAAGGUUACAAAAGUUUCGGAGCAGAAUCUCAGAAACAUAGAAAAAGAAAAUGAAAUGCAAUUUUAAACAUAAGGGAGGAAUGUGCUGAGGCCUUUUAAGGAGGAGCUAAGUCUUUCCAAGAGGCUAAACGAAGUUUGAGAACAGAUUGCCAGUUUUAUUGCCUUCCUGAAAGUUUUAUUUCCAGUUACAAUAAUAUUUCUGCUUUCUUGAAGAAUAAUAUCAAUUACAGUGCUAUUACUUCUUGACUUUAAUUGUUAAAAACAAUAUAUUUAGUAGACGUGGAGCCUUUUAAGUGCAUAGAACAAUCACAUAGUUUUCUUUAUGUUUUAGUAAACCCCCAAGUACAUUUGUUUUAGGAAUUACUUUCUCAUAUAUUUGAGGUGAAGGGGCUAUUGAAUCAAAUGCAUAUAGCUAUGGAUUUUUCUAUCAUUUUUAUUUCUUGAAAAAUUGUGAUAGGAGGAAGAUUGACCAAAAUCAGCAUGGGGGCAGGCUCAAACCUAGGUUACUGGAAUCCAACACCCAGUGAUAUUACCAAUUGAGCCAAUUCGCAACCUUGAUGUAAUUAUGAGAUGUAUUUAUUUUAUGUAAAAAUAUCAUUCUUUUGAAAUGCGCUAUAAUUCAAAAUAAUCUUUGUGACACACACAAUAAAGGCCUUCUCAGAAGCCUUGGCCUGUCAAAUGUUAUAUUUAUUAUCUAUCCCCUCUUUCAACUCAAGAAAAGAAAAACAAUUCAAAAUUGACACUACAUAGCUUACGUACUUGAAUAAAUAAAAAAAUGACAACAAUAUAAUAGCUAACACCAAAACAAAGCUUUAAAAAAAUCUGCAUCUAGUUUGCGCCAAAACUAAUUGGACAUCAUAGACAUUCAACAAAAUUUUAGAUAUCGGUACAUAUUUUAUACUUUAAGUCCAUUAAAGAGACUCCAUUUGUUAUAUUAUAUGUAUAUUCAAAUAUAAGUACUUUAAUUGUACUUCAAGUCCAUUUGAUGACAAAAAAGACAUAAAACAACAUCAAAAUACUAAAUCAAUCAAUCAUAAUGAUAAAAAUAAUACUAAAAAUAAAAAUAAAUUAAAAAACUAAAAAAAUGAAAAAAGAAAAAAAAGAAAAUGGAAUACUUAUCAGAUGAUCAGUACACCAUGUCAUACCGUAUAGGUCAGCGACCGGUACGGCACAUGGUAUAGGUUCGGCAAACCUUGUUUUAGAACAUUGUUUCUCCUAUCCUUUCCAAUCACCAAACAUUAGGUUGGAUCAAUCUGACCAUCUACUUGCCCUUCGUCUCAAAGAUCGAUCACUGAUGUCCAUAUAUAUGUUUGGGAUAGUGAGCAAUGUUAGACCUAACCCUAAUUAGAUCCUUCCUGUAGUUCCUCGCAAACAUUGCAGACCAUCCCCAAUUAGUCCUGCAUAUUGCUCCUUUAUUCUCUCUCACUUCCUCCUCUUGUCCUACCUAUUUUGGGCUCAAAAUCCCUUUGUAUCGUCUCAAUUUUGACUUGAUGAGAGAAGGGGCUUACAUUCACUCAUUUGAUGAGGACUCUUACUCCUUGAAACAGAGGCAAGCCCAGAAUGGCAGUUGGCCGUAUAAAUAUGCCAAGUAUCAGCAUCAAUUAAGCACUAGAUCACCAUAUACUUGCUUUUCUAUUCCACAAGAUCAUCUAAUCUCUUUUUCCACUUCAUUUUUUCACUUGAUCUGUUAGUUGAUAAUCAUAAGGUUGACUGACAAUAAGUUACAGCUCUUUGGUUGGUUCGGAUGUUUCUGAGAUUAGUGUCGUUUCUUCAACCAGAACUGACAAAUAUCCACUGGUUUAUGUGUUGCACUACUGAAGUGGUUCUGUGACCACUUGAUGCAUUUUGCAGAAACCUGCAAAGCAUUUGAAUUGUAACUUUUAGGCAUUUUAGACUGUCAGAAAAGAUGAGUUAUCCUACCACUAUAUAAAAGUGGCCAUGUUUUCCAAGUUUUCAAUUCUCAUUAUAAGCCUAAUUAAAUAUCUCUUUUAGAAGUUUAUCAUGCUGAACUUCUACAAGAAGGAUCCUAAUGCUGAUGGACUCUAGAAAAGAGGCCAAGGGAAAAACUUUCCUCAACUUGGGAUUGCCAUGACUCUAUGCAUUAAAAGAGUCCCAUAUACUUCAAAAUUCAAUUUCAUAAUGAUUCAUUGGUCAUAGAAAAACUUAAGCCCAUGAACAUUAAGAAUAUAACAUAAAAAAUCCUUUACACAUUGAUCCUUUUUUCUUGCCAUCCCCAUGAGUAUCUCUCCAAAGCCCUCUCUCCUCUGGUUUCAAUGUCCAUAACAGCUUGGCAGAUAGUGCUUUGUUGGAGUCCACUUUUUGUCACUUUUGUUUUGCUGAUUAGCAAAAACAAGUUCUUUCCUGCCCUCCGACCAAAGACUUUGGUAUAUUAGCACAUAAUCCAUACUAACAUCUUUUUAAAAUUUGUCAUAUAUCUAAAUCUUUACUAGCAACCAUGUGCAUUUGCACGUGCAUUAUAACUAGCUUAUCAAAAGGCUGAACAUAAGUUUUGUCAUUUUGCAUUGGUAGGAUCUUAGUUAAUUGUCAUUGCUCCGCCUCCUUUCUCCCUUGCUCCAAACAUAGAAAUGAGCUCCAACUGUUAUGGGUAAACAUAUACUUGAGCAUCACAUACUGUUUAUUAUUAGAUUUGAGAUGCACAAUUUCAAUAAGUUGCAAUAUACCCUUUAACCAUCUUUUUAUUCUUCAAUAAAUAUAACAGAUCUUGAUACCUCAAAACACUAAUUCUCCAACAAAUAUACCCUUUCUCAAACCCAAAGGCUCUAAAACAUCUAGAAUCAUUACCAAGUGCUCUGUAAUUAAUUUGUGCUUCAAUAGAACCACAUAUAAACGUAAAUAACAGCAGAAAUAUUGUAUAUAAAAUGUACAACCUCAGAGUAUCUGGCUUGAGUAGUUUCAAUUUCAUAAAGGUUGAGGUUGGACAAUUUAUGCCUCUGGGAAUUCUUCAUAGUACAAUAUUUUGGGUCUGUUUGGUAUUCUUGUUCUUUUUUUGUUUUGGUUUCUCUACAAAAUAGUCAAAUAUCGCAUGGAGAUUGAUUUUGAAGGUAGCAUUUGAACAAAACUUCUGUUGUUCCUUGCUUUUAGUUUCAUUCUUUGUUUUAAAGCAAUAACUCUUUGCUACCAAAAGGUCCAAAGAGUUUACAAACAAUUCAAGAAAACAACAGGGUUUCAUCAUACAAGCUUUUCAGUCUAGUUCAUUUUCCUCUUCGGUUUUUGAAAACCGAAACAGAAAACAAAAGGAAUACCAAGCAGGCCCUUAGUUAUUUUUGGAAGAUUUUUUUCUGUUUUAUGAGUUCAUAGGCACAUCGUGUAGGGUUUAUACUGAUCAGUUUACAAGCUAGAAAAGAAAUGCACGAAUUCAACAAAGUACCACCAAUCAGCUGUGCAAAAUGAGAGUAUCCCUUUUCAGGAGAUAAUCAGUUUCAUUUAGCAUGCACCAGCAGCUGAUUGAUCCAUUCAAAUACCAAGAAAGAAAUGAAAAAGUGAUCAAAAGAUGCAACAGAAACAGUAAGGUAAUAUCUUUGUGAACUUAAAAGUUGCCUAUCAAUUAAACCCAUAGAUUGUAACCCCAGUAUAACAUGAAUUUUUUACAUAAACUUGGUUUUGCUUUGAUAAGCACUCGCUCAUGAAAAUAAAAUAAUGAUGAUGAUGUCCAAAUGAUAUAGGAUUGAUUACUCAAGCAUAUUACUGGGAUUUAAAAUGUUAGACUUCAAUUAAGAUGUGGAGAAAAAAAAAGAUCACCUUCACAAUGGCUAUAACCAUCACCCUUAAAACGAACACCAUCAACCACCGGACACUCGCAAACUCUGCCACGGAAUGUGUCCUGAAAGGCAAUCCGGCCAUUAGGACAGAGAAACAACCAGAAGCAUGGGAACUAUACACUUAAGCACUUGAAACCUUGCAGGCAGUGAAGUUGGAGGCUUUAUCUUGCCAGCAUCCACCAUUAUUGUCCAGGCAUUCAUUUGUUUGUAUAUCUGUAUUGAAAGCAUAUACAAAUAAGAAACCUAUGCUUCAAAUAUAAAAUUUUACAACGUUAAUGGAAAAACAUUUUUAAAAUAACUUGGCAGCUGUGGGAUCCUACCAUCACUUAAACAAACAGCUGGCUCAGUAGUUUCCUCAAAGCCAGCACAAGUAGCUUUCAAGACAGCUUUUUUCUCUAAUUUUCCUGCAAUUUUAUAUGUUAGCACCAGUAAUAGCCUAAAAAUUAGAUAAAUAAUGUAUCCAAGACCAACCUCGAUAUUGUCGAUUAUUAACAAUAAGAGUAGGCAAUAUGGUAACAUCUCCCCUCGAACCUUUUCCAACCUGUGCAAAUAAUUUUCAUUGUCUAACAUUUAGGUGGGGAAUUUAAUUAGCAAUACAAACUCAGAAUGAAUUAUAUAGGCAUCAAUUUCAGAGUAUGAAAUUCAUCAUAAGUUCAUAACAGAUUUGACAGAUCAAUCUACCAAAUACAUAAUGAAAUACUGACCUGGGCAUCUUGCUCCAUUUUCAAAAUUGGAUUCUCAGAAUCUGCAUUUGUAUCUCCCAUGCACUUUUCUAUCUUCUUGACAUCUAGCCCUGCUUAAAUGUAAGAAUAUUAUAAUUGUCCUACUAACCGAUAAAUUGAUGCUUUUAGAUAUUGUAAUGGAAAUUGCUACCCAAUUUACAUUCAUGGUGUCACACACCAUAGCAAACCUAGUGCUCUAACAUAUCAGACCAUCUUAGAUAUAUUUUCAUAUGCGAAGUAUGAAAGAGGAUUUUUUAGGCAUAAUAAUAGAACUGGAAUUAUAGCACCUCCCUAUCAUGUUAAGUCAGACCAAUUAAAUUAUAUUAGUCAACUUCGAAAAUAAACCAACCUAAUGACUUGAUAACAGCAUCAGCACACUCCUUGUUAUAUCUUUUCUCCUUCAUCGGGCACCUAAUGUGAAAAUCAGUCACAUAAUCCCACCAGAUCCAGGGUUUUUUACUUUCAUUUGCAACUUUGAACACACAGAGCUGUCUCAGGUUUUCAACAACCACAUCCUUUCCUUCAUAACCAGUGCUGAAAUCCUGCUCAGGAUCAGGUGCACAAUACCUCCCAUGAUUGAUGCACUGGGACUUGCACUGUUUACUAAAAAUGAAUGGCUGAGGACAAUACCAUGUUAUAUAAUGGGGUGUAAACUGACUGUAACCACCUUUCUCAAGUAGUUGAGCUGCACCCUUAAAUUCCUUUAUAAAAUCCAUCAGCAUGUUGCAUUUAGGCCCACACUCAUCAUUGCUAUUAGUCCAUAACUCAUACUCCACACGAUCAUCUGGAUGUGGAACAGCUUCUCUCCAGUCAAGGUUCACAUUGACCAUUUCACCACUACGAACAGCCUUCUUUAACUUUUCACCAAAAUUUUUAUCAAUGAGUGCAGAGGGAAUUGUUAUGUUCUGAAUAUAUUUUGCAGCUUCAUCAUCCUCUCGAGGCAGAUCCAUUGUAAUCAGUGGUUCAUCCUUGUCAUCGACAACAAGCACUGCCGAGGCACCAGCAUUCUGAGCAUUCCAAACCUUCUUAGCAAAAAGACAUUCUGUCAAAGAAUAGAGUAAUCAAUACAAAUAUAAUACACAGGAAACACCUUUGAAAAGAAAAAACUUGUUAGCAUUUAAACUUGGGUUAAAAUAUGUAAAGGUGAUAUGCAGCACAGGAUGAUGUCUACCAGCUUUGGGGGUUACUGAAUAUCAAUAUUACAUAGAGCCACAGCUUAAUUAUAUUGCAAAAUAUCAGUGUGCAUCGCCAAUAUCUAAUGGAAUAUGGAAUAUGGAAUACAUACCACAAGACAAUGCUAAGUUACUUAUGAAAGGAAAAGCUAAUUCUUUAAUCCCUUUUUUUGCUUGAAAUCCACAUAAACCUGUUUUUCCACACGACUGCAUUAAUUGGAAAUUUAUACUAAAUCUAGAAUCUAAGAUUUAUUUUUUAAAAUAUUUCUUUUAAAAAUGCUUAUGAAAUAUUAGUGCAUUAGAUGAUGAUAAACAUUAAAUUUAUAUGAGAAAAAUGAGUUCAUGGCAAUAAAAUAAUGACUUUUUUUAGAUAAAUUCAUGAUUAUAAAUAUAGACUAAUUUUUUGGAUGAUUUUCCAACUUUGACAACUUAACCUAGUCCUUCUUGAAGUGAAUUGCAACUCCAAGGCAUGUUAAAAAUGUUCUAAAAGACUUUUAACAAAGAAUUGGGGUGUUAAUAAUUUUGUCACAUGCAAUUAUUUGUUCAGAUGUUAUAGACUGACCUAAUCUUUUUAAUUGAAAAAAUUAAGUCGGUGUUACUAGAUAUCAAAAGGUAGUUCCACCGCCUUCAUGAUAAGAUGAAAAAUAACAGCAAAGGAAAAGGCAAAAGAACAUUAGGAAACUGCAAGCCUCUAGACCAAUAAGCUAAUAAAAGGAGUCUAACUGGUAACAACCAAACAAAAUAGUUGCUGUACCACCAUACGGAGAACAAAGAGAUAAUACACAUGUGACUCCUUCCAAAUUGGGAUAGUAGACACCAUUACAUCAUCAUCCAAGCCUUUCUCACCAUGAGGUCAAUUAUGGAGCACAUUAGCAGACCACCAAGUUAAGAAGGAUCCAUGUAAGGAUUAAGCAGAUUUUUACAACUAGUCAUGAUAUUUGAUCUUUCCAGACAACCAAGGAGCCGACCUCAAUUGUUAGAAAUCAAGCUCAUAAAACCAAGGAGCAACUUUUCAACACCAAAAACCAGUGGAGUUGGCCUAAUAUCCUGUCUCCACAUACAAGAAUUGUUCUUCCCUCACCAGUCUUCAUCAAAGAAAAUGCAGCAAUUUUUUCCCACCUCAUUUAUCCGACUAAGAUCUCUCUUGAGAAUAUCUACACAUUAUACUAUAAACGCCAUCGACCAAUCAUCUCAAGCCUUCGCCCAAGGAUUAGCAUAGUAGAUAAUAGCUUAGGGGCAAAUGAUGUCAAGGAGAACUAGACGCAUUAUCGGUCAAGCCAAAUUUACCCUAUCAUGCUUCCCCAUCUUGUGCUCAAUUCCACUUCUAGAUUUCUUUUCUCAUGACAUAUUUUAUAAAACCACUGAAUACCAAUCCAUUCAUAUGCUCCUAUAUACCAAUGUCUUACAAGCCUUUCUUCCCAAUAACAUAUUUCAACCACCAUUUGCAUAAUAUAUGGCGUUACCCGUUCCUUCCCAAUAUCUAAAAUUAUGAACGAUAAUCCUCACGAAGAUGCGGGCACUAUUUGGAUUUACAUGUAAGAUACUUGAAUGUCCUUGCAAUCAUAAAGCUCCUGUUACAAGAUUUUCUUUAACUCUUCCCCCCUCGAGCACAAUGAAAUUAAGUUAAUGAACAUUGUAGAGACCACAUUAAAGAAAAUGAAGAGGAAAUGGGAUCAUUUUGCAAAAGAAACCUGUGGAUGGGUCAUCAACAAGCUCACGGAAGGAAGAUGUCAUAACAAUUGUUCAUCAUCCACCUUAGUCAUCUCUGUCCAAAACUAUUUUUUUCAUGAAUCAAUCAUUCUCUAUGAGGGUCACUUCCGCAACAGAAACCAACCUUGCCUUUAUUGACUUGAGCAGUAAUGCAACCGUGAGUGGGUAGAAACUUGUUACCCAUGCACCUAACUUCAACAAAGGGAAAUUUCUUUCACAGACCCAAACUCCUUCUCAACCUCUUUAAAACACUUUGCUUAACUAAGGCCCUGUUUGGCAUCACUUCGCAUUUCUAAUUUUCAGUUUUUCAAGAAAAAGAAAGUGAGGCAAAAAUGAUGAUUAGUAACCCAAUUUCUAUUUUCAGUUUUUUGAAAACUCUUUCUCAGAUACUAGAAAUUGCAGAAACUAAAAUUCUAGUUUCAAAGCUUUUGAAAACUGAACCCACCCAUAACCACCAUUGCCUCCAUUAUCACCAACCUUGUCACCCCCCACUUGUCACCACCCCCACCAUCGAUUGACCAUUGGCCACUAACCAGUGGCUGUCACCAUUGUCUCCAACACCACCACCGCCAGCAAAUGCAAUUAGUGACUACCAAACAAGUUUUGGGUUUUCAGUUUUCAGAAAGAAAAAAAAACAAAGAUUUUUAGCUUGUAAGAAAUUGAAAUUGAAAUUGAUGCCAAACACCGCCUAACAUAUUGGUCGAUCAUCCUUCCUAUCCAUGACUUCUUCCUUUCAAGAGAAUAUUAAGCAGCACAAAAAUUCUUUUAAGGGAAAUUCUUUGUUAAAAGGUUAAGAAGAUUCAUCACUUUGCCUUUCAUAUUAUGUAGAGUUCUGGAUUAGGCAACAAGGGUAUAGCCAUUUAGGGACUUUCUUCUCCUAAAGUAUGGAACAUGCAUCUUUCAUCUAUUCUGCCGUAAAAUCCUCCCUCUCACUGUUGUCCCCUCAUCUCAAGAAUUAUAGCUUAACACCCCUUUCUCUAUAUCUAAGCAAAUAUAUUUCUGAAUACCAUGAUCCUUUUGUUCACCACUUUAACAUUCAAUUUCACUCUCUCUCACUAUAAGCUAAAUUAACUUUGAUUUAAGCCUCAAAGCAAUUUUUUUCCUCUUUAGGUCACUUUUACUCUCUUUUCAAAUCAAUAGUUCCUCCCUUUUGGGUCUGUUCAAAUCUAAUAUUUCCUGCAUCUCACCUUAAUGCCAAAAUUGCAAAUGUUCUGAAAAUUUAUACUUCAAAUUCCAUUGACAUCUUAAGCACAUCCAAUCCCCAAUUCCUUCAACUUGCUCUUCACAUAUCUAAGGUUUCUAAGCAAAACAUGAUUGAGUUUUCCAAUUUCUUGAUGCACACCCACUUCCCACUAACAAUUGAUAUCGGAAUUACAAACCACCUGUAAUAUUUUUUUUGGAAAAAAAAUGAAGCUUGGGCUCAACCCUUCCUAGAGGAGUAACAAAGUCAACUCAAGGCUAAGAUAGCAGUCAAGGUAAACCACUUUAGCAGGUCAACAGAAAAUCAGAAACCUAAUCAAUGGACAAUAAAACCUACUAAUCUUUCUCAAACAGGUUUUAUAUUACUGAUUCAUAUAACCUACUUGAGAUCACAGAAAAAUCCUCCUAAAACCCAGUAUUUAAAAAUAAAUAAAUAAAUAAUAUGAAUUAACACUCCAAGUUCCCCCUCCUCUCCCCAGAAUUCCGUGCUGCUUAAAGGAUCUAUUCAUCUCUCUGAUAAUCUUUGAACUUACAAGCUCUCACUUUCCUAUUGCUACUUUUAGCAAAAUUCCCAAAAAUAUCAAGAUGCCACCAAAGUUUUUUUUAGUUUAGGUACCUAUCCACAAGCACACAUAAUCCAUCUUGCAUGAUGCUAGUAAAUGGACCUUAUAGUGUCUCUAGAUAUCUCAUUCAUUUAACUUGAACCACCCAUUACUUAAUCUUCUUUUUUUGAUGAAUAAAUUGUUCGGCUUAGAUACAUAAAUAUAUCAAAAAAAUAUCCAUUCUUGAGUUGUCACAAGGGACAAUUUUCUCAAUCAUAUGGUUAGUAUAGUUACAUGCAUGGUUAUGCCUUUCAGUUCAAAUCACAUGACUAUUUAGAACAGUAUGAUAUGUAGGUUGUGAACUAACAAAUGCUGGCAUGACAUGUGAUUCAGUGCCUCUAAUGGAAACUCCUACAAAUAAAUGGAAGACAAAUGUAAUAUCUAUCCAGUACCCUUAUGUGUUAUUUGUUCACAAUAUUAAGUAACCUAAGCAUUUUAUGUUCAGGUACCACUCCACCCCCCACCCACAAUCUUUUGCAUCAAAAGAAAAAAAAAAAAAUCCUAUGUUGAUUGACAAGGUCUUUAGUCCACAAACAACCUAAUGCAACAGUAAAAAUCACUCCAUGCAACUUCCAUCUGUUGCAGGUCACUUCGCCAGCUAAAAGUUGAUUUGGAUACCAACUUCCUAAUAAACAAACUUCCAGGAAAAUUCAAUCAAAUCAAACAUCAAAAAGAGGGGGGCAAACUCAGCAUAUAUAAAUUAACCGCAGUUAUCAUGGAACAUCAAAUAAGUGUCACCCCAUCAUAUUACAGUUCAUGCACAUCUUUCCAAUCCAAAGUUUAUGCCUUUCAACCGCUAAAGAAAAGCCUGUGCUUUUAAAAGCAGCAAAUUGAAUGCCAACAGAAAUCUGUACAAGAUUCGCACUUCAACCGUUCCUUUUCGAGAACACUAGGGAAUCGGAAAGGCUUACCUCCACGAUCGAUAAGAAGAAAGUUGGGGAGCGCCCCCGGCUUGGGCUUGAACAAAUCCGAAGCCGAGAACUCCUUGCAGGCGUAGUUGUUGGUCUUGGGGUACACCACCGUGCCCGCCAUGCUCCCGCCGUACUGCGGGAUUCCGAAGUUGCCGAUGGCGCUGUCGUGCUUCCCCCGAAUCUCGGACGGCGAGGUCACCAUCAGGCUGUUCUUCUCUACCACGAACCUCCCCGCCGCCGGCAAGGCCAAAAACCCCAGCCCCAGCCCCCAAACCGCGAAGAGAAACCCUAGGAGGAGCCCGUCCGAUCGGCCCAUCUUCCCCGACCCAACCGAAGCCGGAGAGAAGUAGAGCGAUGGGAACAAGAUAAUUAAAAGAGAUUGGCGUGGAUCGAAAACAGAGGGUUUUGAUCGAAAACAGAGAGUUUUGGGAGCCCGAGGGGGGAGGCGUGGGAGGGAGGGAGGGAAGGAGCGACUAGCGAGGGAGAAAAGGCGUACUGGAGCUGGUUUCUUCUUUCUUCGUUACUUAAGUAGCACGGAGAUUUGGGUGGAUGUUUUCAUCGUAACCGUUUGUUGUUAUCACUUUUGGUCGUCGGAGUUGAAAACGGGUCUUGGGAGUUGAUCCUCGCGAGUUUAUGGGUUCGGUCUGGCCCACCGUCCGUGACUCACGUUUUGGGCAUGUUGAAGGUAAAAGGCCUGGAUUUUUUUUAUUUCAAAUAUUUUAUUUAUAGUUGUUUCUUAAAUUGUUUUGCAUGUAAAUCCCUGAAAUCUUGUUUAUUAAUAUAAAAUUUUCCUAGUUAUUAGUAAUAAUGGUGCUCUUUAGAAUUGGUGUCCUUGUUUAUUAAUAAAAAAUUACUCGUUAUGUUUGCUUGUCUCUAUCUGUGUCAUUAUGAAUGGCUCCCUGUUCCUAUCUCUUGCGUGUCCCGCGGAGAUCAAUUUCAUCUUUGAGGCCACCUUCGUUGCCUACCAAGAUUUUUGGCUGGCCAUAAAUAGUUUCGUUUUCGAGGGCACAGCGAGGUUCGUUUGGGGAGGGUCUUGAUAUAGGCUGUUGAGAUUAUCCAUAUCUCUACUGCUCGAGAUAUUUGGAGCUUCCUUUUUACUUCUACCGCAAUUCAAGUGAUGUUUUUUACCUAAGAGCCCACAUAUCCGAAUUUCUUCAAAGUUAAUUUCAAUGAUAGUAUAGUGGAUGGCAGGUGUAGGGGAGCAGGUUUUGUUAUUUGAGGCUUGGAUUCAAGCUUAGUGGAGACAGGCGGUAUGCUGAUAUUUUAGACCUCAUACCUGAGGCAGAGCUGAGAACAACUUGGGCUAAUAUCACCUUUACGAUAUGGGUUCUGACUUCUGAGAGCUGAUUGCAUUAUUGUCGAAGGUGGCUUGGCGAUGGUGGUUGGGUGAAUUCAAGGACAGGCAAGGUCUGCUGUUGCCCACCCACUUCUAUAUGACAUUCGGAAGAGUUCCAAGGAUUGUGCGUCCUUGAUGGCCAGACACAUUUACAUAGAAGCCAAUAGGGUGGCUGAUUGGAUUGCUUUCUAUGUAGGUCAGCACUCGAGCAAGAUCUUGUGGACUGGUUUGCCUUCCAUCCCACUUCGGCUUCGGGAUAUUUUGACUUUAUGAAAUAUAUUCAUACUAGAUAUGUAUGAUUCGUCCGUCCUACCAAAAAAAAAGUUCAAAUUUAUAAUUUUAAUUUAAAAAUAAAUUUUAUAGUGCAAUCUUCCAAAUAAAUGGGUGAUUUAAGAGAGCCCCUCUAUUUUAGAUAUCUAGUUUCCACUUGCUCUUGAAUAUUUGGAACAUUCAUCACAACUAGUUACAAUACAUAUGCUUAAUCUCGCAUAACAUAUUGUGUGCCCAUCUCCAUCAAAUUCAUGAUUUUAGUUUCAAAAAUAAAUUUGGUAGUGCAGUUUUCCAAGUAGGUGGGUAAUUUAACAAAGCCCCUCUAGAUAUCUAGUUUUUAAUUGCUUUUGAAUAUUUUGUUCAUUUAUUGCCGGUAUCUAGAAUGCCCAUGCUUGUGCACUAUGACUCGAAUGAAUAAGGUCUUGUUAUACUAUAAUGUUGAUCAAAGUGAGCCUCCAUAUAUAUGAAGAAAUCUCAACAACCUUUGAGAAAAUAAAGUGUAGUUCCAUACUUCAAAGAUCUUAUUACCAUACCUACAUAUCAGAACCAUGCAAAUUCCUCUAGAGUCACCCUUCUAUGAUAUUCCACAUGAUUGUUACUGCUGCCCUCAACCACUUUGGCUUGCAACUCUCAAAACUAUGGAACAAUCCAAAAAGGUCCUAAAAAGGAAGGACCACAAAAUUUUAAUAUUUUGUUAAUACUCCAAAACUAUAUAAUACUUCAAAAAAUUCUAAAAGAGUGACUCAGCUAUGGUCAUUAGCUGGAUCUCGAGGGGACCGAGGGUUGCUGCCGACGACCAUCCAUUGCUUUCAAACAUCUAGUUGAUGAUGAGGGAUGGAGGGGUUGCUCUGACUAAGCACGUGUUUAGAGAAGCGAAUGGAGCUGCGGACUGGGUGCUACUUACGUAGCCAACCACGCCGAUAGCACUGUGUGGGCGGAGGAUGGAGAGCUGCCUCGGGAGCUCCAUGAUAUUUUAUUUUUCAACUUUAUUGGGUAUAUUUGUACACGUGUUAUAUGAAUUAUCUGUUUUAGCAAAAAAAAAAAAAACCCUACAAACUCUAGUAUUUUCUCAAUAUUUUCUUACUAAUUUUUUUUUUGUCAAGAUUCCGUUUUCCUUGUUCAUAAUAGUCACUUGUAACUUGCUGCGCUUCAUUCUAAUCAGACAUGAAUAGUGAAAAGCUGACAAGACUAAUAAGUAUUGAAGAUCCAUCAAUAGCCAAAACAAAUGUAAUACUCAAACAUUUUUAACAUCAUGCUGAUUUUGUAGUAUAGAGAGACAAAAACAAAAACCUGUUAUACGAACCUCGUGAAUCAAUAAGUAUUUACAUAAUACAAUGAUGAGUAAAUAAUGCAUAUAUAUGGAUGAAGUGCUUUUCAAAUAAAACUAUAGAAUGAAAUAAUAUACAUUAGAAAACAUCAAUCAGAAAUAGCAAAAUCCAACCAUUUAAAGGACAAAUAUCUGAACAAGAACUCAAAAAUUUGAUGUCAAAAAAAACUAAAAAAGCUCAAAAACAGGCGUGAUUUAUCAGAGAAAUCGCUAUUCAAAAUACAAUUGCAUCCAUGUUAGCUCAAUGGAAUGCAUUUAUGUUUUGUACCUCAAAAAAAGUAAAACUUGUAUCUUUCAGAAGCAAUGGAAUAAAAAUUUUAAAAUUUUUUAGAUGGAAAUUGCUAGAAUCAUAGGAAUAUUGUACUAAUAAUUUAAAGGAAGUAUCUAAUACUCGAUUACAGUGAAAAUUUUGGUCUUUUGGAUAUAUUUCCCAAUCAAUCUUAUACAAUUCGAUGAAUGCAUAAUAAGAAUUUGAACACAGAAAAAGUAACAAAAUAGAAGAAUAAAAGUAGAAACUCCAAAUAAAUUAAAAAAAUUAAUCCACCAUAGAUUAGGUGAUGAAGGACGUUUAUCAUUAACAAGGCUCAAAAGUGAACUUAAAUUCUUUUGAAUAAUAAUCUUUGACCAAACUUACAAGAUUCAAGCAUUAUUAAUAAUACAUCCACAUUCUUCUCAAUAUAUCUAAGACUCCAAGCAUUGGUCCAUUGAGACAACAUUGUGUCCAUUUUUUGUUAAAUAAAUAGCUCCAAUAAUCAUAUAUCUCGAUAUCAUUUCAACAAAGUUAAAUAAGAUAUUGAUGCCAUUAAGUUUGUGCACGUAUAGUUAACCAUCAAUUUUCACAUUAUGUUGUCCCAUGAAAUGCAACAAAUAGAUUGGAGGCAUCUCAAAAGAUACUACAAAUAGAUGAUUAAAUCUUCUAAUAAUAUUAGUAAUAAUUAAUAUGCCUUAUUAUAGAGAGUAAUAUUUUGAUCCUGGAAGCAGAAAAGAAAUAGCGGAGUGUCUUGAUUAUCCUCUUGAUACUGUACACUCCACAACACGUUAAAAAGUCCAAAGAUCAAACUUUUAAAAUUAAUCAAAAAUGGAGAGCCAGCAUAGGAGCUUUAUAAAUCUUAUUCAAUUAUAGAGAAACAAGGGAACUGGACUAGUUGGACCUUGGAAGCUCCUUACAAUUCUCAUAAUCAUGAAUGAAAUGAAAAGAGGAAACGAUCAGGAGACAAUAGGAGUUGGAGAGAGGAGAGGAGUUUAUGAGGCUUGAUUUAUUAGAUUAGCAAGAGUAUGUGAGAUGGGGGAAGUUUGAGUGUCUAAAAACUCUACGAAAUGAGAGGAGUUUGAGUCUUCAAGAGAUUAGAAGAAUGAUGUUUGAAUAGAGAGAUUGUGGCUGUUUUAACUAAGAGGAUAUUGGUAUUCUAGAUAAUAAAGCUUGGUAGGGGCAUUCUAGGAACAGUAAAGAGUUUCAAACAUUAUAAGCAUAAUAUGAGAUAGGGCCAUUUUGAGAGCAAUGAAAGUUUUCGCAUUGUUAUUCCUACACUUAUAAUUUUUACGAUGAUGAUUAACAUACAUGAUUACAAAGAGUAGUCUUUCGAUCCUAUUAGCAUAGAGAAUGAGUGCAGUUUCUUGAAUCAACCUCUUAAUUCUAUGCACCCCACAACACAUUAAAAAGCUUGAAAUUAAGAUCAAAUUUUUAUGAUUAGAAGCAGAAACUAAGCAUAAGAACCUUAUGAAUCUUAUUCAAUUAUGAAGAAGCAAAGGAACUGGACCUAUCAGAACUUGGAAGCUCUUCUCGGUCCCCCUUAAUAAUGGAGGGAAUGAAAAGAGAAAAAGUUGGGGAGAUGGGAGGAGGUGGAGAGAGGAGAGGAGUUUGCGAGGCUUGAUUAACUUAGCAAAUGUCGGUGAGAGACGGAAGUUCUUAUGGGACCAUACAGUGUUUUAGAAAUUUUUUUUAAUAAAAAAAUAUAAUUUUGACCGUAGAACUGGAAAAUGAAUUGUUUGCCUAGUCCGAAGUCCCAAAUGGAAACAAGUUUGGUUGACUGACUUAAAGUGAAAGCCAGUCUGAUGGUCGCAACCCAAUGUUCGAAGUUCAAAGCUAUCAUGCCAAAUUGAAUUGCUACCCAUCAGGUCUAGCAAAAGUUAACUUGAAAUUUAAUAGUCAAAAGUUUGAUGGAAUUGUUGUGGGUGCUUGAGGGAAAGCGUUUGAGGAGUCUGUUGAUGAGGAGUUGAAUUUGAGAAAGAAAAAUUAUUUGCUCUACCAAAUUGCAUUAUGAAGAAGCAUAUUUUUUUUUAGAGCCGGACUCAGGUUGGGUACAAAUCGGAUACUAGCAAUAUAUAUAUCUAUAUUUAUUUUAUUUGACGAAUACAUAUACGGAUAUGAAUGUUAGUCGGAUGUAAAAAAUCUAUUUUCGCAUUUAUUUUGAACGAAUAUAAGUUAGAUAUCAAAAGUAUAGAUAUAAAUACGAAUAUAAAUUAAAUAAUUAAAUUUUAUAAUUAUAUAAUCAAAGGUAUUACUAAAAUAGAUGAUAAACCAAAUUAAUAUCAUAUUAAUGUGAUCAUUUAUUUAUCUUAAAGAUUAUGGGUGCUAUAAAAUUAGAUAGAAUUAUAAAUAAAAUUAGAUAUAGUUGUCUAUCUAUAUUUAUAUUAAUUUUUUAAUAAAUAUAAGUAUAAAUAUAGAUAAAGGUAUUAGUCCGUUGCUCAAAAUUUUAUUUAUAUUUAAUUGAUUUGGAUACAUUUGGGAAUGGGAUAAAGGGGUUUAUCCUCUCUCUAUCCCGGACCUCCCGGUUGACUUGCCAAACCGUGAGGUGAGACUUGCUGGCCCACGGCCGGUUCACCUGCCACCGCUUAUUAGAGAUUGGGAAGGAAGAACGCUGGCUCUCGUCUUCACUUCCUCCUCUUCGAGAAGAACCCGUCCUCCUCUUCUUCUCCGAUCGUAGCCGGUAGCCGCCCCUUUCCUCCUCCUCCUCUUCUUUUUUUCUUCCAUCACAGCCGUGGCAGCCACCCCUCUCCUCCUCUUCUUCUUCUCCCGUUCGGAUCCUCUCCCUUAUCCAACCCUAACUCCAACGGAUCUGUUGCCGCCGUGAUGCCGUCAACCGCAUCAUCGCCACUCUUCUAGGGGGCGACGAUCUCCUUCAAGACCUUGUUCCAUGGCGGUUCCUGUAGUUGUUCCCAUCGAUGGCGAAGUGGAAUCAUCGUGGUAAUCUCUAAGAUUAGGUCCCCACGGUAGAUCUUAUCCUCAUUCUUUGGGAUUUCUCCUCGUUUUCUUCGUCGUCUUCUUCUUCUUCUCUGUUUCUGGGUUUGGCGGUUGUUUGCCUUUUUCUUGGUUGCAUCUUCAUCUGAGUGCUCUCCUCGGGAACGCCGGGUUGCUUCCUUGGAUUGGACUUGCUAUCAGAGGAAUCAGGAGCUUUUGCAUUAUUUGCUGUUAUUCGCAGAGGUUACAGUAGGUAAUAGCUCAAUUGCUUGUCUUUAUGUGGCCUAGCGUAGAACUGUUAUGCAUCUGUAUGUUUGAUGAACACCUGAAUAGAAUAUUAGGAAGAAAAAAUGUUCCUUUUUCUCUGUUGGAGAAUGAUUUCAUGUCUUUUGUAUUCUUGUCACAUUUUGAUUUCUAAAAUUGGAGGUCUUGCAUGUUAAAGAUCAGGCAAUGUUUUAGGACAUGCUCUAAUUAAUUCCAAUGCUAGUGGUUUGCAUCAGAGCAAUGAUAACCUGACCCAAUCGGUCCAGAAAAUAUAAGUCCAAUCUCUAGUUCAAUGAGUUGGUUGUGAACUUGACAUGGCUGCCACCAUUCACAUGAAAUAUACAAAAUCGAAAACUAGGACUGGAGAGGGAGGUCUGCAGCCAUCCUAUGUUAGAAGCCACUUACAACCCACAUGGAAAACAGGCAUCAACCUAGAAUUUUGCAUGUUGUCUCAAUCUAGAACAAGGAAUGAAGAGAGAUACCAUGUUCAUGAAUCAUGCUAAGCAAGCCAUCUAUCUAUACAUUCAGCUACUAAAGAAGCCUCCAUUUAGUUCAACAAAUAAAUACAGAUCCCAAGAACCCAAAAUCGUCCAUUGAUUAACUAUAUUCAUUCAUUGGAAACCACAUUGCCGCAACAUUUGGCAUAUGGCUUCCUAAUACGCGAAACUAAAUCAAAGUCCAAAAAAUAGGUAUUAACUUAUUAGAUUAUGUAAAUUUGUCAAAGAUGUAAGUAUACCUGGUGCAAGAUUUUGUCAUAGGAUCCAAUGACAAGUUGUUGGAGCACAAGAUAAUUCAUUCUGAUAUGGAAGAAUUUUAGAAAAUACUUAUGAACAUCCUAAAUGCAUGAUUGAACUAUAUCUACUUGCAGGCAAUCUAUGACCAAUCAUCCUAUAAAAACUAGUAUGCAUAAUUAAAGCUUCAUAUUAGAGAGCAAAAACAAGAGGACAACCUUGAAAUCUCGGCUAAAUAUUCUCUUUGAUGGGCACCGAGGAGUUUGUACAAAAGCUGAGAAACUCAAAACUUUGUGAGAAUGGAACUUCCACGCCUAUAGAUAUGUAUUUCUUGGCUGUGGAGGAGAGGAGGGGCACUCUUAUUUGCUAAUGAAGGAGAGGCAGUUCCCAUCCACCAUUGGAGGAAGAAGCGGGUUGAUCUCUAGAAAGAGUAGUGAUCGACUCCGUUAUACUAGGGAGGUUGCGUGAGCCUCGUGCUCAGUUUGAGUGAUAGGGCCUCCAUCUUUUCCCUUGCCCCCUUUGGCUUUUUCUUAUGACCCCAUGCCAUUGGCAAACACAUUUCAGGUACCACUCUUUUCUAAGAUGCAUUACCGAGCAAGUUCCCUAGCCUCCCUCCCACUCUAUGUUCUUUUUCUUGUUUGGUCAAGGGUUGGUGGAGGUUUUGAAGACUGAAGAAGAAAGAGAUUUAGUGAAGGCUUUUGGAGUAGGGUAGUCGGUCUUCAUUCUUAUUUCUUUAUCUAUUGAUUUUGGACGUGGUCAUGGAAAUAUUAGAAGUCUAAUGAUGAAGGAUCAUACUUGGAAUAUGACAUUCAACUUCCAUAUUCAUGUGUAACCGCAAUUGUGCUUUAGGCUAUCAUACCCAAUGAGGAACAAAUACAUAUUUUUUCCUUGAAACCUCUCAAUCUUCCUAGAGCCUAGGUUAUAAUGUCCAUGUCUGUAGUGGACAAAAUGGGAACCUUGGUGAUGAUGAGUGCUAGCUUCUUGGAAAAGAGGGUGUAGUUUCACUUCCCAGUCUUUACCUCUCUAAGCAAUCACCAACUAUAAUCUUCAAGGAGUCCCUCCAAGGAUAACAUUUGAGACAUAUCUAGCUUCAGUAACUUGCAAAAGUCAAGGGUCAUAAUGGAUUGGCACCUCUGAUUCUGUGCUCUCAAUUGAUUUACGUGUUCUUUGGCCAUGGUUCCUUGGUAGAUAUAGCGUGUUUAGCUACAAGUUCUUGGGCACGAUAGCUUAACUAACAUUUGCAAUCCCUCACUCUUUCCAUGCAUGCAUGCCUUGCUCAUUAUAGUUCAAUGUUGAUGUUCUUAGUAUUUCUAAUUAAUGUUCAACUAGUUACCAGCUACAGUUGAGGGCAUUUGUCUAUAGGACCAUCGAUUAUGAUGAAUAUAUGACCCAUGGUGCUAGUGCUGUUCCUUCAACUACCAUGAUAAAAUUAAUAUCACUAAAACUUAAGGUUGACAUGACUUUAAAAUGAAGAUGAUAAGUUAUGUCCAUAUCUGAAGGGAUUCUUGGACCAUAUAAAGGAUCAUUAUAAGAAUAAAAAUAUGCCAUUGUGCAUUUGUACUCAAAAGCAAGUUAUUCACAACAGAAGCAGCUAUUAAAGGCAUAAGCCCCAGAAGUUGAGAAAAAAAUUAUGAAACUUACUGAGCAGACCAGUACACAUUUUUCAUGAACCUAAGUUUCAAGACUUGAACAGUUACUUGGGCACUAAAUUGGAGUCAAGUAAAUGGAUCGGGUACUAGUUCAGCUGGUACGAGUCAAUCUGUUACCUGAUCCAAAUUACUUUAACUUCUUUCACUUUUUUCUUUCUUCCAUUCCUCCAAAUCCACCUUUCUCUCUAACCCUAAGCAAGUAUGCUCUAGCGAUGGUUGCGGUUGUUGGUCGAAGAUUGACAAAUGGUGAGCAGCAGUCAGUGAAUGGCAAUGGGUGUUGACACUUAGAGCUAAGUUGUUUAUGUUUUUUUUAAAAAAAGAUUUUCUUCUUCUCUAGCUCUCUUUUCCUUUUUUGGGGGUUUUUAAGAUGGUAUUGGAGGAACUAGGGCUGUUGCCAGUUGCUGCUGUGGUAGUGUCACCAGCAGAAGUUGUUGCUGCUGCUGGUGGUGGUGGUGCUGCUGUGAUAGUGGUGGUGCUUCCUCUGCAAUGAUGAGGGUGCUGCCGGCUCUGCUGUGGUGGUCUGAAAUCAUUACUUUCGAUUCAUCUAACACUUAAAAUUUUUAGUUUCGUUCAUUUUAGUGGGCUAGAAAGUAUUCAACAAGAUUAGAACUUUGAGCUCUAGCUUGAUGGUUAGAAUUAGUUUAUUUUGGUUAUCAUGUAAAACUUUAUUCAGACAACUAAUCUUUUUCUCUGAUCAAAACAAGGAUCAGGAAGUUAAAUAAGGAUAAGGCUGAGUUUUGGUUUUGGUGGAAUCUUAGUUACCUGAAGUAGAGGAGCAGAUGUGAGUAUGCAGAUCUCUUAAAAGAAUUUCAAAUAACUAAGGAAGUUGUGUAGGAACGAGUUUUUGAAGAGAUCUUUGAGUGAAGCUUUCUACUACUAAGGGUGGAAUCGUUAGUUAUUCCUUAUUCUUCCCUUUUUUUUUCUUCCUUUUUGCUAGUCAUAUUUGACAUUAUCACAGUUAAAAAUGGUAACCAGAUGUUUGGCUAUGGCUAUUGAAAUUUCAUUGUUCUUGCCUCGAAUAUGCAAUCUCUGCCAUGAAUUUUCUGACUAACUGUUACUCAUACCUCUGAAACCUUAUAUUACAGGAUCAUUUUUCUGUCUGAAAAUGGAUGCAAGACACUCAACUGAAAUGUUCAAGUAAAUUUUUCGCAUGCAACUCUUCUUUGAACAUUUGUAGUACCAUUAUAUAUGUUUAUGUCAUCCUUUGAUAUGCAGACAUCUGGAGAAGCAAAGUGAAGUCCUUAUGGAAGCUUAUCGUGCAAUGUCCCAUGAGCUACAUAGACUUCAGGUUGAUUUAUCUGUUCUAGAAGUUCUUCUGUUAGGUUCUAUAUACUAGCUAUAUAUGAGUUAUUUGAUGGUUACUUUUUCAUUAUCUUGCUGAUUUUAUGCCUAUCGAUGUGAAGGUUGAAGAAGAAAUGCUUAUGCACAAACUGUACGAAGUCAUGUCUGCUGAAGGCUUAAUUAAAAAGGUACAUUCUGUUACCAUUUUGUUGAGAAAUCUGGACUAGGAUGAUUGCUGUUGUAGUAUAUUUGCCAUUCUAUUUUGCUGUUGGCAGUUAUACACUUGAGUGGAAUCUAUGUGCUAUAAACAUGGCUGAACAUUUUUGUUUUGUUUCUUAUAGUAAUAAAAUUUUUAUUAUUGUUAUCUCUAAAAACAUGUCAGCAAUCAAAGCUUACUGACAUGAAGUGGGGGACACUCUCAAAUUUUAGCACUUAGCUGACUUAAUGACAGCUGAAACUCCUGUUGACCCAUCAAAAUAUUAACUCUUUUCGGACAAAGUUCAAGUCAUCUAAAACAUUAGACCUAGUGUGAGGUCACAAUUUAAUUUUUGAGAAAAAUAUGAAUAUCAAACUAGAUUGUUCAGAUGGAUGAAUAAACUCUUAUAAUGUCAGAACAGGACCAAGUGCUUUUCUAAAUAUAUGAGAAACAAUACAAGGAUCAAUAGAUACCUUUGGUGCUUUAAACAUUUAGUAGUUUGUAUUGUACUAUUGGUAAAAGAUGCAUUUAUAAGUCUGGCGGGGCUUGCUGAGGCUGGCUAUAUGUGCUUGUAAUUUGCUUUAGUCAGUUCUAAGUUCUAUUCAUAUAACUCUGCUAUCUUAAGCAUACUAAAUCCUUUUUGCAGAUGUACAGCACUGCUGAUGUAACUUUUCAUAGCUUUUAACUUAAAUAUGUCAUGAUGGUUGGAAAUCAGUUUUCUAGUUUCUUAACUUAUAUUUUAAGCACCUCUCCUUAGUGGGUGCCUCUUCAUUAUUAUUGUGGUAUUGUUGUAGUUGCCAUUGACUUCAUUAUUAUUGUGGUAUUGUUGUAGUCGCCAUUGAAGCAAAGAAUGUUCAUAUAGGAUGCUCAUCAACAGCUUGGCCUAGACCAGAGUGGUCUUAGGCUUGGACUGGGUUGCUUUGCUUGGUUGUUGCUAUGCCUCUAAAAUAUGCCCAUUUUUACAUUUAGGGGUUAUGCAUGCGGCUGGUGUUCUGCAUAUUUAAUAUCUUUCUGACUAUCUAUUCACAUGCACGGUUAUAUCAUUUUUCUUUCAAGAAGAUUUUGCAGAUGUCUAUAGUUCUCUCAACCAUGUUACAUUUUUGUGUCCUUUUUGAAUUUCUAUUUUUUUCCAGUAGAGAUAUAUCCAGAAACCGGGUUUGUGAUACAUAGUUUCAUGUGGCUAAGACCAUGAGGGUCAGUUUUCUAUGCAUUUUUCUUUGAAACAAAUAAACAUUGCAUAGAAUUAGUGGGGACUUUAAAAGAAAAACAAUAUAUGAUCAAUUCAAGUAAUAAUCUGGUAAAAAUGUCAUAUUGUUGUAGCCCAACACGAUCAUCCUAUCAUGAAAAGCACCUUUUCGUUCCAUUAGAUCCUCUGGACUAGCCUCUUCAAACCACCAUAUAUCACCAAUUGGUUGGACAAAUCAGUUGCGAUCACCUCUUCAGAUGAUAUAGCCUACUGAUGAGCAUGCAUACGUGGAUAUAGGAUCACCAUUGUCUGGAACGAUCUGGAUGUCUUUGAAGACAGGGUUAUAUGUCUAAACAAUUAUUUGCAUGCCACUCUGAUUGAUUCCACAAAACAGUUUUGGUAUCUUAGAUGGAAUUGGAAGGUAGAAAGCAUUCUAUAAUAAUUUUGAUAUAAGCAUCUUGUUUGUUAUUUUUGUCUAGUUGUUCGUUUUUUCAUCAAUUAGUUCAGUUGCCCCCAUUCUCUUUUGCAGGGGAAUAAAGGAGAAAAUAAUACAAAAAAAGGGUGAGAGUAUAUCACCCACAGGCACCUUGAUAAACCGGAAAAUCACACUGGUGCUGUCUCAUUCCUCAGGCUUGCCUUUCAUAAGGUGCAACCGUUGAAAUCAAGCUGCUGUCGCUCCCCAUUGCUUAGCUUUUGCACUCUCGAGGAAUCAGUUGUCAUGAUCAUCAAGUUGCCUAACCUGUGUGUCCCCAAAAGUCCUUUCUUAUAUAUUUCUUAUUUUCUCUGAGGAACAAAGGGAGUGCAAGAAAAGGAGGAAAACUUUAUCAAUUGAUAUGAAUGAUAAAAUUCUUUAAGCCAAUGAUUACAACUUUACAACCAUCCUCUGUAUGAGAUUGUGCUUUCCAGGUGAAGGAAUGCAGUGGAUCUGCCAAAAGUUUGUGGGCAUUUACCACUCAUAUAAUAGGAAAAACAAAAACAUAACCAGUUUGUAAUUUUGGAUUUCUGUGCUUCUAUACUUGCAGGGCGCAUAACUACUAUGAACUUUUCUUUCAUAUUUCUCACCAGAUGUGCAUGUAAUUUAACCUGUUGCACUCAUAAGACAGCUAGUCAUGGAAUUCUUGGCAUUUAAGAGUAAUAUAGUUGGUUAUGUACUACCGAGGGAUUUAUCAGGUCGCUUGUCUCCCUCCGUUUGGGGGUCUUUGCUUUCUAUCUUGUUGAGAUGCCUCAGGACCCUGACAUUUAGAGAUGUUGUACUCUGCUGGCAAGACAAUGUAUUGUUGGCAGCACUGCCAAUGAAAAGGUUACUCUCCUUCAUAUAAAACCCAUCAUGUACUUACAGGAUUUCAAGAGAUGUGUCAGGAGUAUUGCUGCACAUCAAUGCAAAAGAUCCUGUACAUCAUCCAAAGCUUUAAUGGUGCAUGUACAUGCAUGCUUAGUGUUUGGGAGCCAUUAAGCGUGGUGAAAAGAUCCAAAAUUCAGAAGAAUUGAAAGAACUCACAGAAGUUCGGAAAAGUAAAAUCAGAGAGCUCAGCUUAGGAAAAAAGAAACCAGGCAAAUAAGAUAAUUCAAUUGAUGAUUAUAAUUUUUAUAUAUGUAAAAUUAUAUGUAAAUUAGAUGAGAAAGACAAACCAUCAUCACCAGCAAAACAUCAUCCAUUUGUAAAUGUUAUAGAUGUCAUGAGUAACUAUGUUAAUGGAUAUACAAUCCUUUCCCAAGCAUUUGGUCAUUCUUGCAGCCUUUCCACUCUGAAUUUUGGGUUUCAUCAGCCAAAUGCAUCAAUUCAUGCACUUAACAGCUAGAACACCUCCCUGGCAACACCCCUUAGCUUAAGAGAGACAGGAGGUAGCAGCAUCAGCAGCAGCAAGAAAAACCAGUAACAUUGCAGCUUCCCACAAUUCCAGGCUCUAUAGGUUGAAAUUUGAAAUCUCCCUGAAGAACGCUUGCAUCUCUAAAUUAACCAGGAAACUACAAAUCAAGUCCACUUGAUGCAAAUUCAAUUUGUAAAAUUUCCAGUCCUCAUCUCUGUAAACCCCCUAGUGGUUUAGCUCACAUGCUUUCUUAUCUUUUAUGAGGGCACAUACACUUCGUUAUCCAUUUCACACCCUUCAGCUUUACUCUUUCAAUGGUGCUUAGCAUUAGACAUACUAAAUUGAACACAUUGAAAUUUACCAGCUCCAAAUACGUACCAUACAAUUAAGAUAGGCAGCAUGGUUGACCAUCAAAAUCUGAGAAAUUUGAGUUCAAAAACACAGAUCUGUACAAUUAUAGUGCUACUAGUGCUUCAGACUUCAUAAAAUCCAAGCAUCAAGUUGAAUGCUUCAUUUGAAGGCCAAGUCAGCAGCCAUCUUCUAAUAUUUUCAGUCUCCAUUUAGCACUUUUGGUCAUACCCUCUGGAACUGCCACUCUCACAAGCAAGAACAUAGGACAGCAGUUUUAAACCCUUUGGAACUAUUUCUGAACCCAAUGAAGCAAAGAAUAAAACUUAGCACUAGCAAGUUGGUCUGUUCACAUUGACUGCAUGCUAAUAAUUAACCAGCCCUAUCACAUAAAUAGGCAGAACCAUCUGAAUACAAAUCAAGGUGGAUUAUAUAGAAAAGAAGGCAGUUAUCAACUUUCUGGCUGUUCAGGAAUUCUCCUGUGAGCGAUUGCAUAUGAGAAAUCUGAGUGAAUACCAUUCAGAAGCAGCACAUCACCACUCUCACUGUCACAGUGUUACAGCUUUCAUGUGUAUCUGCUCCAAGGAUUCCAGCCAAGUCUGUAAAGAACAGCCAUUUAUCUUCUGCAAUGUUUUAAAUACCAUGGGACAGGGCCAUCCGGAAUGGGAGGCCCCGCAUCCUAACACUUAGGACAGUGGAAAUCCAGUUCCGUCCCGGCCUGUUUCCAAACUCAUCCCGCCCUGACACAUAGAAUGGUGCCCCUAACACUCGGGACUGUGCGAUGUACCCCCAUCCUACCGAUAUUUAAAAUCUUGAUCGUUCGCAAUUCAGUUUCCCUCGGAAGAGCCAUAGCCUUUGAGAAAGAAUCAUUUCUCACAUUUUUUUUUUAAAUUUUAUUUUUAAAAAGAGGAACAUCACAUGUCAAUCAAGUCAGCCUAUUUUAACUUUGUUGCAUAUAUAUUCAUCAGUCGCCUUAACAUUUUCUCCCGAAAAAACAGAACUGUAUCUAUGAGAGCAUAACAAUGAGAAAUUUUAUAGAUUCACAUUUAGAAAUAUCAUGUCUGAAAAAUCAUCCAGAUGACGUGUGUCUGAUGGGUAUCUGAGAUUAUAACUCAUUACAUAGCAUCCCUUAUUUGGAAAAACUGGCCCAUUAGCAAGCAUCAAAGGAAAGAUGAAAUCAAAUACAGAGAAGAAGAUACACCUUCUAUGCCUUCUUAAGAGUUAUUGAAGGCCAUAUUCUAUCUUUAUAGGAGGGCUUCUUCGUGUGAAGCUCCUAACUGCAGCAUCAAGUGUUUAAAGAACAACAUCUAUGGGAUAGAUUCCUCGACCAGCACAAAUCUUACUUUUUACAUUGUCUGCAUGUAGGAGGUCAUAUGUUUAAAAUUAAAUCAUGAACCAAUCGUAUAGUUUUAUAGUUUCUUAUCAAUGCUUAAAUGGGACAUGGGCAAGCAGGGGUGGCUGGCACUCAGUUCAGCCUAAUCUUGAACUAAAGUUCUACAUGGCCCAAGUUGGAUCUAUUGUAGACCUAAACCUUGAAACUGUGAACCUGGCCCAACUUUAAGUGGAUCCAUAAAAUCAGAUUGAGGCUACCUAGCCAACCCAGCCAACUGACCUCUUUUAUUUACAAUAAAGCAGAGUGGUCUCGAGGAGUUAAUAUGGAAGCACUACUUGUUUAAAGCUGGCCAUGGGUCCACAAAUUUGAACCAAUGUUUUCACCUCUUCUCUUCUUAUCAUCAUAUCAUUAUAUUCAUUAUACUAGCAUUCUUGCUCUUAAGAUUUCUGCAUUUCAAGACAUGACCAAUUUCUUCUCCUUGCAAUCUUGUUCGCCUGAUCUAAUUCCAUCCUACAUGGAUUCCCUUGCUCCUCACAAGUAGUAAUUUGUUACUUUUAGAACACCUUGGGAUGAUCAUCAAAGAAACAAACACUUCUUUUUUUUAGUGUCCUCAUAGACAAACAACUGCUCCACAAACGAGUAAGACUAUCAAUGUUUUUCUUAGUUGCAUAUAUCAUCCUAUGAAUUAAUACCUACUAUGAUAUUAUGUACCAUACCAAUUAUCUGUACAUAUCGAUUAGCACAUAAGAUUAUGCACAUAAAAGAGUACCAUGAGUGCUCACUAACGUAUGAACCUUUUACUCUGAAUUAAAGUAUUUUGAGUUGUUUUAUGACGAUGAUCUAGCUUGUUUUGAAUCUCUAACGUAUAUGUUUUAGCAAGUCAUGUCCACCGGAUAAUCUUGGAUAUGCAUUAUGUAUCUAGCCCAAAUUGCCAAAACAAAUAUUACAACAUGUUUAUUAUUUUAAACAACAAAAUAGCAUGGGAAGGCAAAAUAUAAAGGUAUUUUCAUAAGUUUUGGGUCCAAUAUGCAUUCAGCUAUCAACAUCACAAUUAAUUACUCUAUGUUCUUAGCAUAUUUCUUGACACACUAGUAGGAUAAAAUACACAAAGAUACUUGAAGGCAUGCCGACCUAUAUUUAAUAUUGUAAGUCUUUUCAAAAAUUAAGGCAAUAGACUGUAUUAAGGCAACUCCCAUGGAACCAGUAGUCCAUGGCAAUAUCAAGUUUAUGAAUAAAGAAUGACAAACAUAUGAAUCAAUAAUGAUAAUGUGAACACUGAAUGUAAAUAAGUUACUAUGACUCACAGGAGAUAUCACUGUCAUUGAACUAUCUCCAAACAGCCUCCAAACAUUUGGUAAGACUAAUCUCUUCUGUCCUAAUCUAGGUCUCAGCAAUUGAUGAACCUGCAUUAAACUUCCAGUGUCAGCAUAACAAUAGGCAAGUCUGAAAGGUUCAGGUGUCUGAUAAUUAUUAUUUAAUCAACUGUCAUAUCCUAAAGUCCUACUUACUGAUGCAGCAACAGAGGGAUUGUCAGAUCUGUAGAAGGCCAAACUGGUAAGUUUAAAAUCUAAGCUGAUCCUUAGUUGGGAGCUUCUUCACAGUUGGAAUGCAUUCAAAAAUUAUUCCAACAGUUUGAGAGAUGGCAUGAAUAUGAGUGUUAUAUAUGAAGCUCGCCAUCUCAAGCACAUGCCACUCGUAUAAAUUAAACUGUUUUUUACCAAUAAUUCCCGCAUGAACACUCUCCAUUCUUAAAAUGGUGAAACCGCUUAACAUCUCUGACAACGAUCUCUCGACCAACUGCCUUUGACAUGAACAUGAUUGCAGUGUGGCAAUCCCCACAAAUUCUCAAGUUCUUAAGAACAAUAACUGUAGCCCCAGCAGGCAAUUUUAGAAGCCCAUAUCCGACAGCCAACUUCUCGCUGUGAGUAGAUAAUGCAUAUUCCUUUUUCUCAGACUCAACAUCAUGCAGAACAAACUUGGUAUCAGGGACAUAUCCCAGCUUCCUCAUCUUGACUCCAAGUAUCUCAAGGAAUUUGUAUACUUCCUGCACCUCAGGGUGUCUUGCAUCAUUGACAAGGAACACAUGAACCUUAUUUGCAACUUCAAUCCAGCUGCAUCCGGGUUCCUUCUUAACCCCACGAUCUUUCAUCAAUUUCCUAACCCUUGCAACAUUUUCCCAUCGCCCGAUGGCAGCAUAGAUGUUGGAUAAAAGGACAUAUGUUCCAUCAUGUCGAGGUAUCAUCUUAAAGAGCUGCUCUGCUGCAUGGAUUCCAAGAUCCAUGUCCCCAUGAAUUCUACAGCCUGAUAGAACAGCCUCCCAAAUGGAUGGACCUGGCUCAAAGGGCAUUGAUUUAAUCAUAUCCCAAGCUUCUCGAAUACGUCCAGCCCGACCUAGUAAAUCAAUCAACUGAGCAUAAUGAUCUUCCCCUGGGCUAAUACCAUAAUCAUUUUUCAUGGAUUCAAAGUACCGAAAGCCUUCAUCUACCAAGCCUGCAUGGUUGCAGGCGGAUAGGAUCGUGAGGAAAGUGAUGUGAUCUGGAAAUAUACCGCCCCCAAUCAUCUGGUCGAAUAGCUCAAUUGCCUCUCUCCCAUGUCCGUGAUGCCCAAGGGCUGCAAUCAUUGCAUUCCAAGAUAUAGAGUCCACAUUGGGCAUCACAAGGAACACGAUGUGUGCUUCCUCCACAGCCCCACAUUUUGCAUACAUUGUCAAAAGAGCAUUUCCAGCUGAGUUGCUUGAUUCAUAGCCAAACUGGAUGAGCUGUGCAUGGAGUUGCUGUCCAUGCUUCAACGCUCCGAGCUCACCACAUGCAGCAAUUGUGCUUGCAUAUGUAUAGUCGCAAGGCUUGGCACCCUCAGCCCUCAUUCGACUGAAUAGCUUCAGCCCUUCCUCGGCAAGCCCAUUGUGUACAAAACCUGAUAUCAUCACCAGCCAUGCCAACUCAUGCUUAUGAGGCAUAACGUUAAAUAUUGCAAGUGCAUCAUCAAUGUGACCACAAUUUACAUACCCUGUCAAGAUGGAGUUCCAUGAAACAGGAUCUUUUCUUUCAAUAUCAUCAAAAAUUCUUUUUGCAACAUCGAUCUUUCCACACUUCGAGUACAGGGUGACCAAUACAUUCUCAACAGGUAAUGCUGAUACAGGAUUGAGAUCAGACCCUGAACGAAUGAUGUGAGCAUGAACAGCUUUUCCGUGAUUGAAAAGCCCGGCGCUCUCACAAGCACUGAGCACACUCGUGUAGGUGAAUUCAUCAAGCGGGAUGCCAAUUGACUUCAUCUUUCUAAACAUCUCCAAUGCUUCCAAGAAAAGCCCACAAUGCACAUACCCCGAAAUCAUCGCAUUCCAAACGACAUUAAACCUUCCUUCCAUGUCAUCAAAGACUUGACGAGCUUCAGUUAUAUCACCUCUCCUGACAUACCCGACAACCAUUGUGGUCCAAGUGAGCUCAUCUCUCUCGACCAUUCUAUCAAACACCUCCCGAGCAAUUACCGCUGUAUCAGGGGAAUCACACUUGAAGUACAGGGCAAUGAGGGCAUUCGAAACAGAGAUGGCGUGCUCCGUGCCGGACUUCACCACGGAGCAAUGGAGCUGCCCGCAGUGGGUGGGUUCCAGACCAAUGAUGGCGGCGGCGGCGCUGAGAACUCCGGUGAAGGUGUAGUCGUCCGGCCGGAAGCCAUCCUGGAGCAUCUCACAGAAGACGAGGAGAGCCGGCAGGCCGUUGCCGGCGCGGGCGUAUCCGGAGAUCAUGGCGUUGUAGAAGACAGUGUCGCGGGCGGGGAGAGGAGUGCGGUCGAAGAGGCAGCGGGCGAGGGGGAGGUGGCCGGCAGCGGCGUAGGCGUUGACGAGGGAGGUAGCGGCGACGGCGUCGGUGGGGGCAGGGGAGGCGGCGUCGAAGAGGCGGCGGGCAGACGGGAGGUCGCCGGCCUUGGCGUAGAGGUCGAUGAGGCGGUUGAGGAUGUGAGCACGGGGCUUGAAGCCGGACGCAAGUAUGUGGGCGUGGAGGGCGCGGAGGCGGCAGAGGAGGGGGGUGGGGCCGGUGGCGGCGGAGGCGGAGGCGGAUUUGUGGAGGGCGGCGGCGAGGAGUUGGAGGUGGGCGGCGAAGCGGUUGGCGAAUUUGGCGAUGUCGAAAGAUUGGAGGGGAAGGAGGGGAGUGGAGGGACGCGAAGGGGGCAUUCCCUCUCCUCUUUCGCGCGCGCGCGAAUGGGCUCAUCCAGUCCCGGGCCAAAAACUUGUCUUCCAGGGCAAGUAUGGUUGAUAGCUGCCGGCGUCGGAACUUAAAACUUGGUUUAAGAUGGCGGAAUUUGAAGGUGUGAGUGUGUGACUGUGAUAAUGAUAAAUGGAAACAUCUAAGGAUUAAGGGCAAGUGGAGAGAGGAGGACGAGAAGAAAAGCUAGCAGACAUAGGCUUGGAGAGAGAAACAAUACAGUAUAUAUCUAAUAUAAUAUAAUGUAACAUAGUAUGGUACUAUAUAGUAUAAUAUCUAGUAUAGUGUAGUAUAUUAGUGCAACUUUGUUUAGAAGCAACUUCCAUUAUACUUACAAACUUGUGUGUGUUAAGAAGCAAUAAUUUGUCUCUUUCACCCUGGCGUCGCUGUGUUUUCGUCAUCUCAAUUUUUUCAAAUUUUAUUAGUAAUAAUUCUUUUAUCAAGAGGUUUUAAGAGACUUGGUUUUGCUCUUUGCACUCGAGCGUGAUUGAUAUAGCUCUAGCAUUCUUUAUAAAAAGUUUUUGUAAACUCUUCUUUUCUAAUGUGUAUAUAUAUCGAGCGAGGACUCGAGGACCCCAACCUCAAUAUGCCCCAUAACGUUUUCUUGGCCUGAAAUCAUCUGUUAAGUUUCCUUCUUCGCACGAGUAGCAUGUGCAUGGGUAUAUUCUGAUUAAAAAUACAAGUGAUUCAGAGUUCUACAUGAACUUUGGGGUUUUUUUUUUUUUAAUUCUUUCCUGUUGCGUUGGCUUUCCUUAUCACUUGAUAUUCACAUCAAACGCAUUAAAUAUUCGAUGAUUUAAACAUUGUGAGAAAAUCUUUUGCGGAAAAUGUUGUUUACAUUGUUCUAAUUUGGAGCUCAUGCACUGCAGGAAAAUUAUAGCUUCAGCACUGAUAUCCGUCUUUGAAACAAAGGGCUUAGGAGGAGAUUAGUUGGCAAUUAUUUAAGGAUUGCUAUUUAAAAGACCAAGCUUCUCCUGCAUGGGCAUUAUAAUUGGAGACAUUCAAAAUAUCUAAGAAUUCUUUGGUUCACUCUUAUAUGACAACCUGGACUUUCAUGCUGAGAAGAUGUGGAUGGCAGAUACUCCAGAGUUUUUUUGAAUUCAAUUCAUGCAUAAAUUCUAACUCAACUACAUCAAUGUUUACAUCUUCCUAUUGAAAAAAAUGAAGAAAAAUAAAACUUGGUUAGAUCAUCAUUCAUGUGAUCUUAUCUUUUUUGUUCAGGGAGAUUGAAGACAUAUGGAUUUCUUUUAUCUAUUCUUUCUGUAUAGCUCAAGACACCUCAAUGCUCGAAAUUUGGUGAUCCAUUCUGAUCACUAUGAUGCUCAUCUCAGAGUUAAUAUUUUGGAAUAUCUUUAUUGCUUAUUGGAAGAAUGAUGAAAAGAUCAGAAAAUUCUGAAUGAAUCGAAGACAUGGAUUUGCGCCACUCUCCUCAUCAUUUGCAAUGAGCAGAGGCUCGACUUCAGCUCUGAAUGGUGGCUUUCCAAUCAUUAAUCUAAAUUGGUCUCAGAAAAAUAGUGCUUCCCAAGAAAGAACAAGAAAUCAAUCAAAGAAGUAGAGAGGGAAGAUGA
Molecule: long non-coding RNA, 88290 nt
Filed under: Phoenix dactylifera (date palm)
Lineage: Eukaryota; Viridiplantae; Streptophyta; Magnoliopsida; Arecales; Arecaceae
Description: long non-coding RNA (PDAC_LNC001334)
Source: RNAcentral